GAUCGAUUAAUAGCUUUGUAACCCUUUGUUUCUAUUCAUUUUCAGAUUCAAGAUGGAGCUGAUUUUCAGAAAGAAGAUAGAACGACUGUUUGCCUCCGCCGUCGAUCUCUCCGUAGCUAGAAAUAAUUUGUAUGUCUCCUCCGUCAUCGGCAUCAUCCUUUGCCUGCUUCCCCGUAAAAAUAUAGGAGGAAAUCUCUUCGAGGGACAGCCAUCGGCCUUCUAUGCCCUGGUAAUAUCUGUCGUAUUUACUUUCACCGGUUCGUUCACGGCGUUGAUGAUAGGAGAUAACUCCAAGACUUCAAGAUUCUGCACACUUUAUUCCUUGGUCGCCAUGAUUUUAGCUUCAUCAAUUCUCGCUCAUGUGUUUUUAACAUGAAUAGGUGCCUUCUACUUCUCUUACAAUAACCAUAUCUCUUCUUCUGCAUCUGGCGUUGAGUCUUUGGAUCUGGUGAUUGUAGGAUCUAGCCUUGGUUUUUUUUUUUUUUUUCUUUUGAAUGAAGUAUCUGGUUAUUAUCGGCGAGUUAUUGGGUAGUAAACGGACUCUAUGUUCUUUAAUUCUCCUGCAUUAAGCAAGAAAUUAUGUUGUUCGAAACUUCUGCAUAAUCUCUUUGUUAAAAAGCUUGACAGAGCAAUUACUUUUUUUUUUCUCUUAACAAAAUUUGCUAUGGCAAUUUGGUCCCGUUUUGCAGAACCCUAAUUCUCAAAAUUCCCUCGUUAUCCUCAAUCUCUACGAAAUCAUCUCAAUUCUUACUAGAUAUUCACUCCCAAAUCUUAACAAUGGUGAAACUGAAAGAAUUUUUUUAAUGGAUAAUAAAAUUCUUAUUUCAAUAUCUAUAUAAGAGGAAAAGCAUGCUACAACUUGUUGCUGCAUAUGACUCGAACUUGUAUGAAUGCAUCCUUGUACGCAAGCUUGAUAGGAAGAGUUCGGAAAGAUUUCCCCUUCAUAGUAGAGAUGAACCUCUUGAACUUAUCUAUCAGUUUUUGAACUCUUAUUCAAGUAGCUUGAUUAUGUUGUCGAGUCGAACUUGAGUACAUAAAAUAAGAAUCAAAUCAAGCUUGAGUUAUGAGCUUUGUGAUCAAUCCAAGUUCCAACUUCUCACUGCCUCUCUCCAUGGUAUUCCAAAUUUUGCAAUGUAUGUUUUUUAUUUUGAGAAUGGAAACACUUUCAUUAAAUGGAAAUGAAAUGAUGUAACAUCAACUUGGGUACCAUCUGCAUCUGAUACAAAAUAUACUCUAAACUAGCAAUAUUGUCAGCCACUGUAUUAGCUUCAUGGAAAGCAUGCUGAAAAGAACAAAUUCAGCAGGUAAUUCUUUCAUGUCCUCCAGUACUAUUUCACAAUCCAUCAUGUUUGAAUCAUCUUUCUGCACUUUAAGAAUUGCUUUAACCGAGUCCCCUUCCAGUAUAAUCUCAGAGCACUGCCUGCAUUUGUUGCUGUUGAGGCACGUCUUCACCUUGCCAGAAUGAUGGCAAAAAAAAAAUUCACCUGAUCAUUUCCUGAUCUAAGCAUGGAUUUCGAACACCUUUUUACUCCAGUUUUUUGGGGAUGAUAUGUCAGAAAAGAUAGUAUCAAUGAUGUCUUCUUCAUCACUGGAGACUUUGGAAGUUCGAUGGUAAUAGACAUAUGUUGAAGCUUGAAUCUAGGCUUGUAGACCUUGUUAUGGCAACUUUCUCAAUCUCUCUGAUUAUUUCGUUUUCAUCUAUAGUUUGGUGUAAAUUUUGAUCAACUCACUUCGAGGAACGUUCUUUUCAAGAACAUUCACACUUCAUUUUGGAUCACUUCUGUCUUGUAAUUUCUUAUUCCUUGAAAUGCCCAAAUUUUGUACUAAUUCAACUGUUAAUUUACAAUUAGUAAUUAAAAUCACAACCAAAUUAAGUCUCCACGUAUAUAGAACAUCACUUCCUUUCUUCAUUUAUAGAGUCUUCAACUUGACAAAGCAGCACAGCAUCGUAACCAGCUAAGACAAAGGAAAAACAUGACAUCGACAUUCUUCUGCAAAAUGAAGGGUACUCCUAUUCUAAGGACAUCCAACAUCAAAUGGUUAAAACUGGAAAUCUCAACUUGAAAGUCUGGUGUUUGAAUCCUGCAAUUGUAGGAGCAUGAUCAUGAAAUAGGAAAGAGCUAUGUCCUUAGACGAAGGCCUGGUGAAUCUCCUUAUGUAUGAAAAAAGCUUGAAGGGGGUUAGUCAUGCAAGAGAAAGUUCUGAGAGGAAACACGAUUACAUGCCAUUUUGCACAUUGUCUCACCUAUAACAUGAGCCAACUAACUAAGCUAGAAAAUUCCCGUGCCGUGCAUUGAAUGCCAGCUUAAAAUUACCUUCAAUGUAACAAAAAGGAUAUGGUCUGAUUGGACUAAUUUCCUCUCUUGACACCAAUCUUCUGUGCACUGAAUUAUUCUCAGUUUGGAUGCAUUUUUAAUCGUAUGUGGUAAAUUUCUCAUCUUCAUGCAUGCCUUAAUCAAUAUUGUCUCCAAAGAGGGCAUUGUAAAGAGACAUGAGAAAUGGAGCAUAGUUCUGGCAAGUCACGGAGCUGCAAAAUUUUCAACUUGGGAAGGGCGUGGGAUUCAGACUAUAUUUACAUCUUCAAUAAUCUCCUCCAUGAUAUAGCAGUCCUCCACCUGCAGCUUUUGUAACUGAGAGAGUCGAAUGAUCAUCCCAUACGGAAAAAGCAUUCUAAUGCUAUGGCAUCCUUUUAAUGUGAGAGUUGUGAGGCUACAGAGGCUUUUAGAUUCUAUUGAUCCUCGCCAGAUAUCCUUCAAUUUUGGUAGAUUGUAUAUGUGUAGGCUUUUCAAGCGUUCAAAUUCAACACCUGUGCUGUCAUUGACUUGAAAUGCGAUACCUGUUCUGUCUCUGUCUAUGAUGCUCUCCAAUUCAUUGCAUUCCUCAAUGAUACAUGCUUCCAAACCUUGUAAGUAAUCAGAACGGAAGACUGAUAAACUGGUAGCAGUUUGGUGACCAAUCAGUUCAAAAGCUUUUGCUUGCCUUAGUACCUGUGAAAUAGAAUCAGGAAAUCUGUCUCCUUCAGAAAACCUCAGGUGCUUUUCUGCUGAGCAUUCAAAGACUCUAAAUUCAGAUGCAGAACUGUUUCUCUGACAACCAACAACGAUGCUGAAUGAUCUGAAGUUAUUGCCUGCUGAAGGUGUAUCAUUUCCUUUCCAUGAUUUGCUAUUCUGGAUGAAAGCUUUGAAAGACUCCAUCUCAGGGAAGAAGAAACAAAGAGUUGUUAACUCUUCCAACUGCAUUUUGAUAUCUGCUGCUUCUAUGGCUCACACCAAUGCUCAGUUCUUCUAACUUAGAAAGCCUUGCAAUCACAUUAGAAGGAAUCAUCGGCUUCAUGUCUUCAACAUGGUUGUGGUUACCAACAUGUUCUGUGAAAGAAACUCUCAAGCAUUUUAGAUUAGCCAAUUGUCCAAUCUCAAUGGGCAAACCAUAGAGACUGGUGUGACGUAUAUCAAGGAUUUCAAGGUUCUGGAGAUCUCCUAUCUGAGAAGGAAGCUGUACUAACUGACUAAAGUUGUUUAAAAAGAGCCCUUUCAGAUUUAUUAAGCUGCAGAUAGAUGAUGGGAGUGCAGUGAUUCUUGUUUGAUACAAGUUAAGAACUUGAAGACCACACAUAUAGCCAAAGAAUUCCCUCGGAAAUUCAGUCAAGCUACUCUCCUGUAGUAACAAUGUUAAGAUCCCACAACAUUGGGGUCUUCUUGGUAUAGUGGAUAGGCAAACCCGAAAGAGUGAGACUCUCCUUGCACGUUCCCACUCUUCCAGUAUAAUGUUUUCAUCCUCAGUAAUGAAAACAUUUGAAUUCUCUUUGAGAUUUGCAAUCCUUAAUGCCACCCGUUGAAAAUGCUCAUACAUCUUGAAAUGCCCCCACUUUCUUCCCUUUUCAAGUAAGGACUUUCUCACAAAUUCAUCUAAUAUGGCAUGCCCCCUGUCACGUGUCCUUGGAAGCUUUCUUAGGCUUGAAAGGAACUGUUCUGCUCUCCAGCAAUCAAUUAUAUGGUCUCGAAAAAUUUCAUAACCAGCAGGAAAAACAGCCCAAUACAGCAAACAAGGCUUCAUCUCUUCAGAUAGUCUUUCAUAGACAAGUUUGAAAGCCUUGUAAACUUCUUCCAGUUGUUCUUGCGGUUCCAUUCUAGGGGAUCUUAAUUGGGACAACAUAUCCCGCCAUAUUGCAGGGUCAUCCACCCUUGCCAAUCUAUUGCCUAUUAACUUGAUCAUGUGCGGCAUGCCACCACAUUCAUUGAUAAUGAGUUUUGCAACUGGCUUGAUAUCUCAAAUUUACCAGAUGCACCCACCGUGUUAUGCAAAUUUUCCAUUAUCGUGGUCUUCCCCACUCCCGGAGGUCCCCAAAUGCAGAUUCUUUUCAAUUGCUCAUCCUCUAGCCACUCAACCAGUGUUUCUGCACGCGAAUCAAAUGAUGGCACAUCACUUUUUUUCCGAGCAUGCUUCUCUAUAACAGGAAUAGGUGGUGCUGGUGGCUUCUCAUGCAUUAUAGUUAUUUGGGUUAGCUGAUUCCUCAGCUCAACUACCGCUGCUGUCUUCUUUACAAUAUGCUUGCCAAGCUUCAGCAGACCAGGAAAGGGACAUAGUCCACACAAGAAUGUGCUGGUAUUUUUGUACUCAACCUUUAGUCUUUCAAUCUCCUGUCUCAUUUUAUCCACCUCAUUGAGCCAGGUUUCACAUCUGUUUGUCUUUUCUUUCGUCAAUUUGUUCCUAUCCAGAGUUAUUUUAACAUCUUCAUCUUCAUUACACAGAUAUAAUUCCUCCUUCUCAAGCUUGGCCAUAUUCUCUUUUAUAUUCUUCACAUAGCCAUAUUUGCACUUCAAACAGUUAAAUAUACCCUUCCCACCUUCCACUGCCGGUGUAACUAGCGAACCAGCCGCUUGGCCAGCUGCUUGCACUGCCAGAGCUUCCAUCCUGCCAAUCACUUUCUGAAAAAGUAGAUCAGUAUAAGUGAAAUCAUGCUUUAGUCUCGAGCAAUAUCCAUAUAUAGUAUCAUAUUUUUUGUGAUCUUAAGCCCACAAAUUGGUAGUUGCCAUUGGAUAUCACAGCAAAAACAUGAUCUAAAACAGUACUAUUCUACCCAUUGAGGCAUCGACCAUUGUUAAAUAGGAGUAACAGACAAAUCAUUGGUAAUUUAAUUGAUUGUUUUCAAGAUUGGACAUGAAUUACUGCCACCAAUGGCUACUUUUUUUUUUCUUCUGCUAAGAGUCAACCCUGCCUCUUAGUUACCGGAGGCAACGUUUCCUAUCACCCAAUAAUCAGAAUCAACUUGAAAUGGAAAAACUUGUCAAAAUUUCAACAUCUCAACAUCUUCUCAAGGAUGUACUGAUUACAUGCAAUUUACACAGAAGUUUUCGAGUUUUUCAACUUUCAACAGAACCCAUCCAAAAAUAACCCAAAAGAUCUUGAAUUCCAAGAAACAUCUGAGCUACACACAUGAAAGAGAUACUUAAACAAAUUAAAAAAAACAAAACAAAGAGAACGAUAUGACAUUGUAGUUGUUUGAAGCAACACAACACAGUUCAGACAAGAAAAGAAAAAGUGGGCAUACCUGUAAAUCGAGUUUGUUUAGUUCAGUUGCGUUCUGUCUGGGAAUUGGGUUGGGUGGUCUUUUUCUGGUUCCUGCCUGGGGUGUUCCUGUUUGAGGUUUCUAUCUGUCUUCCUGGAAGUUGACCUGAGGCAGGUCAGGCUAGGUCAGCCAGCCAGUUUCAAGCUCAGAAUCUCAAAGAAGUCAGUCAAUAAUGUUCCAGCCAGCCCAAAUGAUUAUACAGUAGAGGGACCCACUCAUCCCUGUCGCCUCCUUCUAUCUUAUUUUCAUUGCCUUUUUUUUAGCAUUUAUUUAUUUAUUUUUCCCAGCUUGCCUCGGUCCAAUAGUUGCUCCAUUUUCCGUACUUUUAUUUUUUAUUUAAAAAAAAAACAGAAAGACUAUUUUCCGAAGUUGAAAAGUAAAAACAAAUGUUUUUUUUUUUAAAGAUACGGUGCAUUUAAGGAUAACUUUUUUUGUUUUACCAAAUUAUUAAUGCUAGAAAUGUUUUAAGACAUUUUUUGAAAUUGUUUUAAAGACUGUUAAGUGGCAACAAAAAGUUUUCUUUUCUGUUUAGUAAAAUCCAAUGAAGCUGAGGAAAUUGGCCUAAUUGGAAACCUGCCCAUGAAAGCAAAAGCAACUCAUCAAAAGGAAGGAUGAAUCAUAAGAAUUUAUCUAAUGAACCAGCCUCCUUUUUCUUCUUUUGAUGGCCUGCAAUAUUUUCUACACCAUGUCAUUUAUAGCAAGAAAUUGAAUAGUAUGUGUCACCUAUGAAUUUUUAGCAUAGUUCAGAACCACAGGUUUGGUCCAUUGGCUAGUGUUUUAUGUGUUUUAUGGCUCCUGCUGGAUUUCAGGGUUUUCCCCCAUUAACCAGAGCCAAAAAGGAAAAGAAAUGCAGUAUUCAACUCCUUCCCAUCUUCCAAAUGUGAAAGAAAAUAAAAAAGCAAAGAUAAAAAGAUGGAGCAGAUCAUGCAACCAUUUCAGGUAGGUAAAGGCAUCAAUUGUUAGAGGUUGGGGAGAUACAGAUCCAGGAUUCAAUGUCCUCACCACCUUGCAUCCUGACCAUUGUACCAAAUUAAAUAAAUAAAUAAAUAAUAAGGGCAUACCAAUAAGAAGAUAAAAUUAUAAUUUUCCUUGUUGCUGGUAAUCUGGAAUCUGGAGAUUGUUACCUGACAUCAAGGGAUCCUGCAACUUUUUUAAAUAUUUGCAAGAACACUGAUAACCGGAUUCUUAAUUGCUUAUUAAGUAUAAUUCAAAUUUUGAUUAUUGUAUAAACUAGAUAGACAAAAUUCCUAGUACUAUGAUUAAGAAUUAUACUGUACCUUCUCAGAAGACAAAUUACCUUAAAUUCCCUCGUCCAACUCAAAAUAGUCAUUUUGAAUAGCGUCCCACUUGACUUUUUUGUUUCGUGUUUUAACGCCAUAACCUUUAGGACUCCAUCAAGACUACCUGUGCAGAUUGUGCAACCAUCUUCAACCUCCUCCCCUGAAUGUCCCAAAAAUGCAGUAACACAUCUGAUAGGUCCUCUGUGGCCUACCAAAACUGCUAGACAAACAUGUUGACCAUCUUGUUCCCUACUCCAAACCCUGCUAGAUGAAUCAGCUGAACCACUAAUCACAUAAUUGGACACACUGGCUAAGCAGAUUACUGCAUGAGUGUGACCUUGGAGGGCGCCGCCGUAUUGCAGUUGGCCUGACAACCAACCCUUAAGCCAGUAAUGUACGUAGCCAUCGGUACACCCUCCAUAUAACACUCCCCCGUCUGCAGUUAAAGUUAGAGUUUUAACAGGUAAGCAUUUGGCUGGUAAGGUUACCAUGAGCGAAUGUGGCCAUUCCCCUCUACAAAAAUUUCGACGCCAAACUCUGAUUGUGGCAUCAUCAGAGGCAGUGUAUAGUAUUCCAUCGUCAGCCACAACGAUAGCAUUGAUUGGUUCUGAAUGUGCAGGGAUGUUCUCAAUGCAUUUGAGGUCUGAUAUUCUCCACACUUUCACAGUUUUAUCAACAGAUGCUGAGUAUAGAAUGUUAUCUGAUAUGUUGACUGCUAGUGAUGUUAUUGAACUUAUUGAAGUUGAUGAUGUUAGAAAAAUAAGUAAAGAAAUAAAAAUAAUAAAAAAGAAUUUUGACUUUGAAGUGUAAAGAAUAUUUUUUUAAAAGUAAUUAUAUCUUUAAGAUACAAUAAAAUUUUAAACUUUUUGAUCAUAAAUAAUAAAAAUAAUUAUAUUAAAUGAUUUAUUUCUAAUGAAUAAAUAGAUAUAAAUUUUAUUCAAAUGGUUAUGAUUAAUUGUAUAAUCAAGACUUAUAUGAAUAAUUUUUUAUUUAUAUUUAAAUAAUUAUGAUAAUUUAUCAUAUAAUAAUUAUUUUUAUUCAAAAAAAUUAUUUAAAAUAUAAAUAAAAUUAAUAUAAAACUUAAUUUUAUUUACUAAUAAUUAAAUCUUUUUAUCCAAUAUAAUAUCCAUCACAUUCUAAACUAUUCACAAACGAGAACUUUGAUUUUGACAUGACAGAAGUUUAGCAAAGAAGCCUCUCAACCAAAAACGAAAGCAAGCUAUGCCAAUGUGGAAUUGGAAGCAGAAGAUGAAUUAAUUAAAAGAGCCACCAAGUUAUAAGGAAGCAUCACAAGGUAGCAAGUGGAGACAAGCAAUAAAUGAAGAAAUUUAAGCUUUGGAACAAAAUCAGACUUGGGAUUUGGUGCCUAUACCGGGUGAUCCAAAGCGCCUUUCUUGCAAAAGCUGAAGUGGAGUACCAUUGGAUGGCUCUGAACUUUGAUGCUGCAACCCAGUACUACCACCGCCAUUAUUAGGAUUUCCGUAGUAUUCGUCAAGGGAUGCAGAAAAGAGUCUCAUCAUAUCUAUAUAAGAAACAUAUACGAUAAAAUCAUCAUUAUUCUUGCUUCAAGCCAAAAAGGUUAAAAGGGCAUAAAGAUCAAAGUUUUUUUCAAGCAAAUGUAUUAGUCUGAGUCAAGCUAAAAACCUUAAUGAAAAUUUAUUAUACUCCUCCUGACUCAAGCAAAUGUAUCUGAUUUAAUCAUUUGAAAGCAAAAGUCAUUCUAAUUAUGCUUGCAAGUUAAAGAAAGCAUUGUUUGUUCUAAAGCAAGUAUCAAGAGCAGGGUAUUGCAAAAGUUAGUGAGUUUCUAGUUCCAUGUGUUUAUGAAAAGAUUUGUCAAAUCAGAAAGAACUUGUCUGCACGCUUCCAAAUGAAACAGUUCAAUGAAUUUAAGCAUUUUCUUGGACUUGGAGCAGAGAAGAUAGGCAUUAUAACUUUUCUGGUGUCAAAAGGGAAAAAUUUAAAACAAGAGAAUCCCAUGGAAAUAAAUAAAUCCUAACUCCUUAAGGAGUUUGAGGAAGUGAAGUAAGCAAAUUUAAUAUCGGUGAUAUUGAACAUAUUUAAAAAUAUUUUUUCAUUGAUUUAUAUCAAAUUUAAUUAAUUCAGAUUUUUUUUAUCUAAUACUAUCAAUUUUAUCAUUUUUAACUGAAAACAUCUAAAUACAUCUAAAGCUUCAUAAAAAGUCAUAUUGUAUUUACCGCUUCCAAAGAAAUUAAAAAAAAAAAUCGAGCACCUUCAUAAAUUUCUUUCCGGAAGAACCAAAAAACAUACCGAAUAAUUCAGACACUGAAUCAACAGGGUAUCUGGAUUCCAUUUGAAGGAGCAGAUUACAAAAAUCGGACGCCCUCCCAGAAAGGAUAUGAAUGUAGGCACCACCCUGAUAGAGUGAUAAAUCGCAAAAGUUCUUAUGGAACUCAUCACGUUUUCUCGAAUCAGAUCAUGGAGGUAAUCUGGAAGAGCAGUGGGAAGCAAUUAAGGAACUUAUAGAAAUCAACUUCAGUUUUGAAUGGUAUCGGUAUUGUUCUCAGCCAUAAUUGUUUGCGAAAAAAAAAAAAAACGAUUUGAGAGAUGCAGAUUCGAAUUUAGAUUUUAGAUAUACAGGGAAAACAAAAUGCUCUAAACUUUAAAACCUUAAUUUUAUCUUUUUAGACUUUAUUUUACAAAAAACGCGUGGUGAUGAUGUGGUGGACCCCUCUCCAUUUUUUAUUUGAAUAAGAUUGGCACCGUUGAUAUUAUAUUAUUUUUUUCCCUUGAUUAAUAGCUUUGUAACCCUUGUUUCGAUUCAUUUUCAGAUUUAAGAUGGAGCUGAUUUUCAGAAACAAGAUAGAACCACUGUUCGCCUCCGCCGUCGAUCUCUCCGUGGCGAGAAAUAAUUUAUAUGUCUCCUCCGUCAUCGGCAUCAUCCUUCGCCUGCUUCCCCGUAAAAAUAUAGGGGGAAAUACAGUUCCACUACUCUUCGAGGGACAGCCAUCGGCCUUCUAUGCCCUGGUAAUAUCUGUUGUAUUUACUUUCACCGGUUCUUUCACGGCGUUGAUGAUAGGCGAUAGCUCCAAGACUUCAAGAUUCUGCACGCUUUAUUCCUUGGUCGCCAUGAUUUUAGCUUUAUCAAUUCUCGCGCAUGUCUUUUUAUCCUGAGUGCUUCUUAGGUUCCUUCUGCUUCUCUUCCAAGAUCCAAGCCUCUUCACCUGUCUCUGGCUUUGAGUCUUUGGAUCUGGUGAUUAUAGGAUCUAGCCUUGUUUUUCUUUUUAUCUUUUUUCCUUUUGAAUGAUGUAUCUGGUUAUUAUCGGCGAGUAAACCAACUCUAUGUUCUCUAGUUCUCCUGCAUAAAGCAAGAAAUUAUGUGUUGAAACUUUUGCAUAAUCUGUUUGUUAAAAAGCUUGGCAGAGCAAUUACUGUUUUUUUUUCUUAACAAAAUUUGUUAUGGCAAUUUGGUCCCUUUUUGUAGAAACCCUAAUUCUCAAAAUUCCCUCCUUAUAAUCAAUCUCUACGAAGUCAUCUCAAUUCUUACUAGAUAUUCACUCUCAAAUCUCAACAAUGGUGAAACUGAAAGAUUUUUUUUUAAUGGAUAAUAAAAUUAUUAUUUCAAUAUCUAAAUAAGAGGAAAAGCAUGCUACAACUAGUUGCUGCAGAUGAUUCGAACUUGUUUGAAUGCAUCCUUGCACGCAAGCUUGAUAGGAAGUGUUCAGAAAGAUUUCAGAAAGAUUUCCUCUUCAUAGUAGAGAUGAACCUCUUGAACUCAUGCUUUAUCUAUCAGUUUUUGAACUCUUAUUCAAGUAGCUUGAUUAUUUUGUCAAGUCGAACUUGAGUACAUAAAAUAAGAUUCAAAUCAAGCCUGAGUUAUGAGCUUUGUGAUCAAUCCAUGUUCCAACUUCUCACUCGCUCUCUCCAUGGUAUUCCAAAUUUUGCAAUGUCUAUUUUUGAUUUUGAGAAUGGAAACACUUUUUAUUAAAUGGAAAUGAAAUGAUGUAACAUCAACUUGCAUACAUCUGCUUCUGAAUCUAACGAAGCAAGCUCCUGAUACAAAAUGUACUCUAAACUAGCAAUAUUGUCAGCUACUGUAUUAGCUUCAUGGAAAGCAUGCUGAAAAGAACAAAUUCAGCAGGUAAUUCUUUCAAGUCUUCCAGUGCUAUUUCGCAAUCCAUCAUGUUUGAAUCAUCUUUCUGCACUUCAAGAAUUGCUUUAACCGAAUUCCCUUUCGCUGUAUUCUCCUUUAUCCACGGUGAAGGGAAUUUGAAGAUCAAAUCAUAAUGCUAAAAUUUCCUUUGCCCUGCAUUUGCUGCUGUUAAAAGCACAUGUCUUCACCUUGAGAGAAUGAUGGCAAGUAACUACUCCCAGCUUGGCCAAAACAUUCACCUGAUCAUUACCUGAUCCAAGCAUGAAUUUCGAACACCUUUUUAACAUUCACACUCCUUUUUGGAUCACUUUUCUUUAGUCAUUUCUUAUUCCUUGAAAUGCCCAAAUUUUUUAAUUUAACUGUUAAUUUACAAUUAGUAAUUACAAUCACAACCAAAUUAAGUCUCCACGUAUAUAGAAAUACCAUUAUGGCUAGUACAUCUUGUAUAAGAAACAAUAAACAAACAGAAAAACCAUCUUAGAACUUGAGAAACUACAACAUAAACGUAGAUCAAAACCGGACUUGAACUAAAAAGGAUUCAAGGUCCUUGCCAUUGGGGACAUUGCUGCAUUGGCACACACUUCCUUUCAACCUUUAUAGAGUCUUCAACUCGACAAAGCAGCACAGCAUCGUAACCAGCUAAGACAAAGGAAAAACAUGAGAUCAACAUUCUUCUGCAAAAUGAAGGGUACUCCUAUUCUAAGGACAUCCAACAUCAAAUGGUUAAAACUGGAAAUCUCAACUUGAAAGACUGGUUCUUGCAACUGUAGGAGCAUGAUUACGAAAUAGGAGAGAGCUAUGUCCUUAGACGAAGGCCUGCUGAAUCUCCUUCUGUACGAAAAAAGCUUGAAGGGGGUUAGUCAUGCAAGAGAAAGUUCUGAGAGGGAACACAUAAUUACAGGCCAUUUCGCACAUUGUCUCACAUACAACAUGAGCCAACUAACUAAGCUAGAAAAUUCCAGUGCUGUGCAUUGAAUGCCAGCUUAAAUUACCUUCAAUGUAACAAAAAGGAUAUGGUCUGAUUGGACUAAUAUCCCCUCUUGAUUCACACUCUUAUGAAACUGAGAAACUUUCUCAAAUCAUCUUUAAUAGUGUUAUUUGGCCAAUCCUGUUGGUUAUAUUAGCAAGUUCCAUCCAUGAUAGACAGAUGGAAAAGAAAUUAGCAAGUUUCAUUAUUGUCAUUUUAACUAUAGUUUAUCAGAUUAUUUAGCUAUUUAGUUGCUGAAAUAUGUUUUGCUUGGAUUUGGCAUCGCCCUUUAUUUCCUCUUUAGACCAAACUAGCAAGUGUUUUUUUUAUAUAUUUAUUUUUUGUGUAAAAUAUUUUAUAGGCAUUCUUUUUUUUGCCAAAAGAAAAGAACUUUAGGCAUUCAGCCACACUGAUUUAUUGAAUUUAAAUUUAAUUGGCUUUUAUUAACUGUGGAAUUUUGUUUUUUUUAUUUAAUAACCUAGUUUAUUAGAUUUUUCAGAGUCCAUAUAAUUACCUAAUUUUAAAUAGGGGAAAUUAAUGAUAAUUAUAUUAACAAUUUUUCCUUCUUUCGAUAAGAAAAUAUAAAGAAAAAUUUUGGUUAAACAAUAGAUAAUACAUACGUUUACUUCUAAGUUAAUAUUUGAUGAUUUAUUAUCCAUACACUAUUAAUAAAUUAUGCAAUAAUAUUUUAUAAAAAAUUAUUUUAAAUUUUUAAAAAAUAAAUAUAUUUGAUUUUAAAAAUGAUUAAAAGUAUAUUUAUUUAAAAUUAAUUUUUAUCUGAUAUCAUUGAUUGUAUGUUUCAAUGAUAGUAUAUAAUAUUUAUAAAUUAAAUAAUAUAUCAAAUAUAAAUUUUUAAAAAUAUGCAUAAAUCAUUUUUUGGAAAAAAUCCAUCAAAUAACUUUGAAUAAUUUAUAAUUUCUUUUAAUUGUUCUUUUUUUUUUAUUAAAAAUGAAAUACAUCUCUUAAAAAAUGUUUUCCCAUUGAUUUAAAUAAAAUAAAAAUGGACUAAGUGAAUUUAACCAAAUUAAAAUAGAUAACAAUAAAUUUAAUAUCAACCCGAAGUGUAAUAAAAGAUUUGGAAAUUAUCCUUAUAGUAAUUUAGCAAACUUUUUUGUUUUGUUUUGUUUUUUUUUUGGAUAUUUAGGAAAAAAAGAGAAAAAAAAAAAGAAAAAAAAAGAUAAGGCCAGUGGAAACAUGAAACGACGUCGCCUCCCUUGAAUGCGUUUUGCCUGCUUGUAGCCGACUCCCAUAGAUGGAGUUGGUAGCACGGUAACGCAAGUUCUCAAUAGCAGAUUUGCAAGUAUAGGUUCAGCUGCCGCACUGAUCGACCAAUACAACAUCACUGCCAUCCUGUGGUCAGUCUUUCUCUCCGCUUCUCAAAGUUCUUCUUUUACUUCUAAACAAAAACCCAAAACUGAAAACUUCCCUUUUUUUUCAUUUAAUACUUCUAUCUUUUACCAUUUAUGGUUUUAUAGUAAUUCUAGAAGAAGCUAGAAGUAGGUAGUGAAGAAAAAUCACAUAAAGCCUUAGCUUUCAAUGUUAAUUUUUGUUAUCUUGUUUUUUUUUUCCUAUCAUUUUCAUUAAAUUUGAUUGAAAGAUUGAUUUUUUAUUUUGUUUCAAGUAAAAAUAAUGUAGUUAAUAUGCAUAUAUCUUUAUCUUCUUAUUAUAAAUUCUCAGUUGUCAUGAAAAAAGUUUGUGCUUGAAUUGUUCCUAACAUGGGUUUUGCAGUUAUAAUUCUCUCACCCUCCAAUGGCUGCUGCAAUGGAAACUUCACCAGCUUUGGAGAUUUUAGGUACUUAAUAAUCAUAAUCAUGCUUCUCUUUAGAAUUCAGCUCUAUGUAAUAUGUUUUUUUUUUUUUUCUCAUUUUUUUCAACUUUUAUGUAGUUCGAGAACCGGAGGGAUAUUCUAUCUGGAACGGGCCUCCAUUCAACAAUAAUAAUCAACUUGGGAUUAAGCUUGAGAAAGUUCCUUGCACUAGUGCCAAGUUUAGCGAGGAUGGUUCCAGGCUUAUGGUUACGAAAGCUGAUGCUGCUAUUAGUGUUUAUGACUCCAGCACUUUGAAAGAGAUUAGAUGUUUUCAAAUCCCCAAUGUUGCUGCUUCUGCCUUGUCCCCAUGUGGGACUUAUCUUCAGACCUUUCAGAAGUCUACUACACCCCAGGAAAAGAAUGUGGUUUUGUGGAAAAAAGAGACUGGUGAUUCUGUUUACCAGCAAUUCCAGAAAAACAUGACAAAAGCCACAUGGUACAAUAUAUAGGCAUGCAUAUUUAUGGUUGCACGCAUUAUUUGUUGUGUUAUAAUAGUAUUCGUGAAUUUUUUAAAGUGUUCAGUCUGGAUGUUUGCUUAACAGUUGACAAAUGAUGCCAACUUGGGGCAUUAAAAUCCUUCAUUUUUGCAUCUUCUGUCUCCCUAUGUCUUGUUUGCUGGGAUGUGUGUCUUUGAAUUGAUAUUUAGCUUGGUUGUAAAUCUGCCUCAGGCCCUCAGUCCAGUUCAGUUCUGAUGAAGCUGUUGCAUGCCGGCUUGCUACAAAUGAAAUACAGUUUUUUGAUGCUUCAGAUUUCUCUAAAGGAAUUUCUCAUAGGCUGAGAAUUCCCGGUGUGGCUGCAGUUGAGCUUUCCAAGGCUCCUGGGUCCCAUGUGGCAGCAUUUGUUCCAGAAUCUAAGGUUGGUGUGCCCUUGGUUUCUGCAGGUUUCUUAUUAUGAAAAUAAAGAUCCUAAGAAGCAUGCGGAAUUGGUAUCACCCUAUUCUGGAUUAAUAAUUUCCACGAUUAUUCUGUUAACAUGGUGCAUCUUGAAGUUGAACUUCAAUCUGUUUUAAUUAUAGCUGAAAAGGAACAGGUCAAAGUUAAUUAAAAGUUUAUAAUAAAUACUAUAUGAUUUGAUUGGAUAGGAACAAGGUAUUUCAUUAUGCAAAACUUGAGUAAAAUCUGGACCUUUUGUGUUUUAAUUGACUUCUAAGGAGUAUUUAUCUUAUUUGCCAAUAAAAGGAAUAUUAUCUCUAGCAUUGGAAACUAGCACAUGCUCUGGUUCUCCUUAAUGGAACUUUGUCAAAUUUAAUUGCAAAAUUAGAAAAAACAACUUUCUGUCAAGAAGUAUCAAAGGUCAAAUAAUAAAAAGAGCAUAGGAGUCAUACUGGGGAUGUUAGAUACUGAUAACUGACAAGAAGGGAGCAAUUCAGCUUGUGGGAAGCAUGUCAUCAAGGGCUAGCAUGUAGGAAGUCUACAUAUAAAGUGCCUUAAAGCUGUGGAAGUGCUUGACAUGGGAGCCUAGCUUUUUACACUUACAAUACAUUUGGGUUUGGUUUUGUAUUUUGUAGGGGAGUCCAGCUAGUGUCCAGAUAUAUGCCUGUGGGAAAAAGUUGCAGAGCCAACCUCUUACUUGACGAAGCUUUUUCCGAUGUUCUACAGUGCCACUAAAUUGGAAUCAUGGUUCAACAGGACUUCUAGUUGUGGUGCAAUCUGAUGUUGAUAAGACUAACCAGAGCUAUUAUGGAGAAUCAAAACUGAACUACCUUACAACUGAUGGGACCCUUGAAGGACUUGUGCCCCUUCGUAAGUUCUUGCUUAAAACUUUUGCUGCUUAUUCUUUUUAGUCAGAAAGCAACAUAAUAUUUUUUGCUUCUUCAUCAUGUACAAUUUACUGACUAUGUAACGUAUAUUGGCAAGUAAGGAGGGGCCUAUUCAUGAUGUUCAGUGGUCAUUUUCUGGGAAAGAGUUUGCUGUUGUUUAUGGAUGUAUCCUUUUCUGCCUCUUAAAAAACUUGGCACUUGGUAGGGUGUUUAAUGCUCGCUUGGGGUGAUUGGAUUUUGAUUUUAACUGGACUAUAUUUGGCAAGUUUAUUUAUGAAACUCUAAGGAAUGGGAUUUGGAGCGAUAAUUGCAUGCACUUUUGAUCCAUUGAAGAAGGCUCCUCCUUGAGUAGAUCCUCUAAUGCAGUACAUACAAAUAGUCAAGAAGCUUUUCUCUAACAAUUCUAAGGUCUAGAUCAAAAUUUUCUUAUGGUUUUAUUUUCUGUGUCAGUUCUUUGGGAAAAUUUAUGAGAGAGUGUGCUGUUUGAUCUAGCUGAUGUUGCUCAUAUUUGUGUCCUAUUGGGACUUUAUUAUGCACCCAAAAUGGGUACGUUCAAUCUUUUGCAAUUUUUCCCUUAUCUUUAGUGUCAUAUGCCCUCAAUUCACAGCAAUUGUGAUGUGUCUGACAUGUCAAACAAGGGUGCUGAUAUAAAGAGUACGGUAGCAAAGGGUUAGCCUUUCACUUCAUUUGCUAUUAAUGCUUUCUGCAACUGUUUCUGUGAUGAUUGUGUUUCGUCUUAACAUAAUUUCAGUUAUGCCUGCUAGUGCAACAGUAUUUGACAAUAAGUGCAAACCAUUACUUGAGCUGGUAUCCAGUCCUUAAAAUACCAUUCGAUGGAAUCCAAAGGGGAAACGUAUCCUUUUGUAAAUAAUUUCCAUGCUUUUCUUGCUUUGUAGUUAGUCUAAUGAAUUGUAAUCAACUUAUCAGUUUGCUUUUGACUAUACAUAUUUGUAGCCUUAAGUAUAUGAUAUACAGUUCUGUGUUUGGCUGGUUUUGGUAACUUGCCUGGUGAUAUGGUAAGUUUGCAUGUUAUUUGCUUAUUUGCUGAUGUCUGGUUUUGACUAUACAUAUUUGUAGCCUUAAGUCUAUGAUUUCUCUAGUCUUUAUAUUUUUUUUCCUUUUGCUGAUGUCUUUCUCCAGCAGGGUUUUUUUUUAAUCCUUAUGUUGAUAGUAAUUAACUGUAAAGAGUCAAGUUUGGUGUUUGGGUGGAUCAUGAAUUUGUUUCCCAGGAGUCAGUUGACCUUUUUUCUUGGAGGUUCAAGUUGUGUCACUAGCUCAUAUCUACGUUGUUAGAUUGAGAUUUUGGGUCCUUUGGGGAAUAAAUGUUACUUUUAUUCUCCACCUUUUUUUUUUCCUUGGAGAUAGAUUCUGUCUUUUUGUUUCCCUCCUAACGUGGGGGAGACUCGUUUGGGUUUUGGUUUUUUCAUGUUUCUUCAUUAGGCCUGUUCUCAAUGGAUCCCUCUGCCUCUCACAUUCUUAAUCCAGCUAAUUUAUGUUUAAUUUUACACUUCAGGCAUUCUGGGACUUUGUAGAUAAAAAGCAGCUUGGAACAACUAGGGCUGAAUGUUCUGUAACAAGUGAGUGGUCUGCUGAUGGAUGCUAUUUCAUGACUGCCACAACAGCUCCCAGACUCAAAGUUGACAAUUGGUAUGUUAAUUAUUGAUGUUUUCUUAUAAUGAAGAUUUACAGGGUACAGAGGAGUUUUGCAAUUUACAAGUCACCAUAAUAUUUACUUCUAACAACCUGUUCUAAUAUAUGGUGUACUUGAUUUUAAUUCUUUUGAUGCAUUAAAUUGUUUAUUACCUUGUUCUUGUCACAAAGCAUUGGAAAAGAGAAGCUUCUUUCCAUUGCUAUGAAUUUGUUUGCUUUUGAUCUAAAGACUUUUUUAAUGCAUUACUUUAGAUGUAGAUGACAAGUCUUUGUGGGAAAACACUUAUUUACAGCUGGUUGUAAUCUUGUAAUCUGUAUAUCUAUAUUUGUAUAUCUAAAAGUAAGUAUUUGUAUCCCUAAAAUUAGGAUAGACAAUCCCUCAAUUAUAGGAUUAGUUUUUUAGGAAGAUUUAGUUUCCUAGUUUAACCCCUAGUUAGUUGUAUAUAAACCUAAGAUUCUUGUAUAAUUCUCAAUAAGCAGUUUUCCAACAUACAUUUAGUUUUCACACUGAUUUAUUUCUUAGUUUUUUCAUAUGGUAUCAGAGCUUUAGGCUCUUCUUGGGAAACAAAAUUUUUAGCCUUUAUUGCUGAUUUUUUUAGGCCUUUAUUGCCGAAUCCUGUUUAGGCCUUCAUUGCCGAACCCUUUCAAAGAAAGAUAUCACUACCACCCAAUUUGAGGAAAUGUUAACCGGAAAAAUCACUGGAGUAUUACAGAUGUCUCAGAAACAAGGAGAAUUCGACAGGAAAGAGAUUGAAAAGCUGAGAAACUUAUUGAAAAUCCUUGAAAAGCCUACUGUGGUAUGUUCUUUGGGUAAGGUUUCUAGUUCAGGUAAAGCUUCUGGUUCUCAUGGAUUAAAUGUCUUGGUUAAGCCUAUUACGAGUUCUUUGGUCAUUGACUCAGGAGCCACAGAUCACAUGACACAUUCCUCACAAAAGUUUAAUACAUAUAACCUGUGUCCUAGUAAUAAGAAAAUUGUUGUUGCAGAUGGUUCACUUACCACAGUGGCAGGAUUAGGAGAUGUUCAAGUUAAUCCCUCGUUUGUUCUAAAAAAUAUUCUUCAUGUUUCUGGAUUGUCUACUAAUCUUAUAUCUAUACAAAAACUUACUAGAGAUAUGAAUUGCAAAGUAAUUUUGUAUCCCUCUUAUUGUGAAUUUUAGGACCAGAGUUCGGGAAAGAUGAUCGGACUUGCUAAGGAGAAGGAUGGACUAUACUAUCUUGAGAUAUCAAAUAACACAAGUAGUAUCAAGAAUAGUUUACUUUUGUCAUUUCUUUUUGAAAAAUCUUCCAAUAAAGAUAAAAUCUGGCUUUAUCAUUUUCGUCUUGGACAUCCUUCUUUUGGAACCUUGAGAAACAUGUUUCCUUCUUUGUUCAAAGGAUUAAAUGUUGAAGAUUUUCAUUGUGAUGUUUGCGAACUUGCAAAGCAUAGACGUGUGUCUUUUCCAAUCAGUAACAAAAGAAGUUCUACUCCUUUUUACUUGAUUCAUAGUGACAUUUGGGGUCCCUCUAUAAUUCUUAAUAUUUCUAGUGCAAGAUGGUUUGUUUCAUUCAUAAAUGAUUAUACCAAGGUCUCUUGGAUUUUUUUACUUAAAUCCAAAUCAUAUGUGAAUAGUGUGUUUUUAAGCUUUCAAUACAUGAUCCAAAAUCAAUUUGGAGUGAGAAUCAAGAGAUUUAGGUUUGAUAAUGCAAGAAACUACUUCAACCAGAAUCUAUCUACCUAUUUUCAAAAAGAGAGGAUUAUCCAUGAGUCAUCUUGUGUUAAUACUCCACAGUAGAAUGGAGUGACAGAGAGGAAAAACAGUCAUUUACUAGCCACAACCCAAGCCUUUCUUUUUCAAGCAAAUGUACCUAAAUUUUAUUGGGGGAAGCUGUUCUUACUGUCACACAUAUUAUAAAUAGGUUACCUUCAAGGGUUUUGGGAUUUAAAACUCCUAUGAAACUACUCUCACAAUGUUAUUUCAACCUCAAUGCCACAAACAAUCUCACACCUAGGAUAUUUUGUUGUACAUCAUUUGUUCAUGUUCACAGUCAUAACAGGGGAAAGUUGGAUCCAAGAGCGAUUAAGUGUAUUUUUGUGGGGUAUUUUUCAACUCAAAAAGGAUAUAAGUGCUAUCAUCCUCUUAUCAAAAAAAUUUUUAUGUCUAUAGAUGUCACUUUUGAAGAAAAUAAACCAUUUUUUACUCAACCUUAUCUUUAGGGGGAGACUUCAUUCAUGGAAGAUAAGGAUAAAGACUUUUUUUUGCUUGAUUUGCCCCCUUCUUCAACAUUUACACCCAUUAAUUCUUCUGAGUCGAAAUCUGUUUCAGUUGAGCCCAAAUCAAACAAUGAAUUUGAGUCUGAACCCAUUCCAAAUACGGAAGAUGUGACAAAAGAUAAUAUUGUUCUUGAUUCUAAGAAGGAAUUAUAGGUGUACUCAAGAAGGAAAGUUUCAGAUCUUGAACCAGUGCUAGUGCAAGAACCUGAUCCUAACUCUGAAAAUGAGGUAACUACAGUUUUUGACUCUGUUUCUCAAAUGAGCAUGAAUCUCUUAUAACUAGUAAUUAUGAUCUGCGUAUUGUCAUUAGGAAAGGAACCAAAGAAUGUACCAAGCAUCCACUAUACCCAAUCUCUAAUUUUGUGUCAUUUGAAAAGUCCUCACCAUCCCACAAAAAUUUUCUUGUGAGCCUAAACACUAUUUUUGUUCCAACUACAUUAUCCGAGGUAUUAUCCAGUGAGAAAUGGAGGCAAGCCAUGAAAAUAGAAAUGGAGGCCUUAGAAAAAAAUCAGACAUGGGAACUGGUAGAGUUGCUUAAAGGAAAAAAUCCAGUGGGGUGUAAAUGAGUUUUCACUGUAAAAUACAAGGCAGAUGGUACUGUUGAAAGGUAUAUAGCCAGGUUAGUAGCUAAGGGUUACACUCAAACCUAUGGAGUGGAUUACCAGGAAACUUUUGCUCCAGUUGCCAAGAUAAAUACAAUUAGGAUUUUGUUAUCAUUGGCUGCAAAUUACAAUUGGCAGCUUCAACAAUUUGAUGUAAAGAAUGCUUUUCUACAUGGUGAUUUGGAAGAAGAAAUAUAUAUGAAGGUUCCACCGGGAUUUGGAAGUCAUCUAGAAGCAAACAAAGUAUGCAGGCUGAAAAAAGCUUUAUAUGGCUUUAAACAGUCUUUUAGAGCUUGGUUCGGGAGAUUUGCCAAAGUGAUGCUAGCAAUGGGAUAUAAACAGAGUCAAGGAGAUUACACAUUGUUUAUCAAGCACUCUGAUUCAGGGAGAGUCACAGUUCUAUUAGUGUAUGUUGAUGAUAUAAUUGUAACUGGAGAUGAUGAAAAAGAGAGAGAAUCUCUAAAACAGUGUUUGGCAAGAGAAUUUGAGAUAAAGGAGCUAGGGAGAUUGAAGUACUUCCUAGGAAUUGAAGUAGUUCACUUACGGCAUGGUAUUUUCAUCUCACAACAUAAAUAUGUGAUGGAUCUUCUGAAGGAAACUGGGAAGCUUACAUGUAAACCUGCAAAUACCUCUAUAGAUCCUAAUCAUAAAAUUGGAGAAGCUAAUGAAGAUGCUACUGUAAAUAGAGAGAUGUACCAACAAUUCGUUGGAAGACUCAUUUAUCUCUCACAUACUAGAUGUCACGGUCCACGCGUUCCUCCUACUGAAACCACGCGACCGUGCGGCACCAAGACUAAUCAUAGUCAAGGUCAGCCUUCUAUCGUGUCCAUUUUUUCGCGGACAGACCAUUUCUGAUCCUUCGAGCCACAUGCCCGUUAGCCUUUUCUGGCUUUUGACCCCGUAGGGUUGCUCAUUCCAAACUCUAUAGAGAGGAACCCAUCUCUCAUCGCACAUUGGCCCACGGUUCUCCAAUUAACCAUGAGCACCCAGCUCUGGCCGCAAAGCUUAAUGCUUCGAGCACCGACCCUCAGAUCUCGUAGGGGCACACAGCUCCAGUUCUCAUGAUGUUAUUACCUCUUGGCAUGAUGAGAACCCAACACCAUGCCCGCCCGUAUGAUACGCAAGCUCCCGUAUCAAGUUUACGCAAGCACCUCAAAUAAGCUGGUCAGCAGCCAGCUCGGAGCCUUUAGGCUCAUCUCGUCCCACGGGACUCGGUUCUUAGGGCUCAGGCCCUUAGCAUCAUUAUCGGCCGCCCGUAUGCAUGAUUGACACCCCACAUCAUGCUAGUCCCACAAGGGGACUUGGGUGUACUGCCCCAGUAGCAGUACACCAGCCCGACUGGCCACACGGGUCUAGCAGCGUGCCUGCCUGCUAGCCCGCACAUCCCUCUGGCUCGAUGGCAUCCCUCCUACGCAACACCAUCACAUGAAUCCUUCCGGCUCGAGGAGGGGAAACCGAGGGGCCUAGCGAUCUCUACCGCCAAACCCAUGGCUCAACGCAAAGGCGCGAUACGAGGCCCGCCGGCCCCAACCGUCCUCGGGUUUACCUUACCCGAGGAAACAUCGUGCCACGCUCGUGACCCUACGAUGCCCGCCCACCUAGUCACCACGAGUGCCUAGGAGUAGCUCACUUCAGACUAGCCAGGCCCCCGCCUGCCCGCUAGCCAAGGGGGUGGUGGAGAGCUGACACCAGAUCAUCCCCCUAUAAAGAGCGUUAGAGAUUUUCCCAAUAUGCUACCAGUGACCGUAAGAAUGUCUGAAACGGGGACACUUUUCUGCCCAGCCAUCCUAGGGCCUUUCUCCGGCUAACUCAGGCCCCGUAACCUUCCUCUUGGUCACCAUUGCUCCUUGAUUUUGCUCGUUGCUCCACCAACCCACUCGAAGGUGCCUGUGUCACGGGUCGAGACUCAAGCUCCGAACCCGCGCGGCUCCGGGACCCGGGCAUUCACCCUUCCGACGUCCCAGAUCAGCCUUCCGUCACGGUUCACACCCUUGUGAGGUAUUGUCCGCUCUGGCCCCCCUGGCCUCACGGUUUUGUCCUACAAAAGGCGCCUCACAAGGCGAAGAUGGUGUGAACCCUUUUAUACCCCAGGGACCUUCCUAUUAUGUUCGAUGUGGGAUUCAGGACUCCCCCUUAGGUCCGUGACAUUCUCCCGCACCCAACCUCGUGACGCCCUCGUCACGGAGGCCGGCCACCCUGCUUACCUCCCUCGAGGCGCUCGGCGUGGAUCGAACGGUUUAGGGCUGGCUCUGAUACCAACUGUCACGGGCUCCGACCUUAGACUCAGAAUCCGUGCGGCCUUAGGCUUGGAAUCUCCUCCUUUAUGCCUAAGUCAGCCUAAAACACAAGCGUGCGGGCACUAGAACAAUGGGAAGGGCUGAUUACGCAAGUUAAAGAGAAACAGGACAGAAAAACAGAAUUCUGGAAAUGCUCUUGUAUUCACUGAAACAGAAGUGUUUGAUGGUGUACAAAUGAGGGUGGAGCAGCCCUCUAUUUAUAGUUGGGGCUCCAGCUACAACUUAAUGGCAAAUCCCUAAAAUAAAGGCUACAAUCAUGGGAUUACAUUUAAUCAAGAUGCUGGUUCCUGAUUUUCAGGGUCAACCAAAUCUGCCAGGAUGCUGAUGCUGAUCCUGCCUGGUUCCAGAAGCUUCCCUUGCGUAUCCAGCACCUCGGGCCCUUCUGGAUGUGGUGCGGGCAGCCCAAAUGCCAGGCCUUGGUCUCAUGAGUUGGCCUGCAAGAUGGGCGGGCGUUUGGAGCUCGUUUGAUAGGCUUUGCGCACUGAUACCCGCCAGCACGCCUGGUCUGCGGGCCUCAGCUUCUGGCUCGCCUGCUGGUCUGCCUGAUGUGCCUGGCGCGCCCGCCCAGGGCGUGACACCUGCACAUGGCUUCCACCGAUGGCACCUGCCAGGCUACUUGGCUUGAGGGUGUCCGACCACUGUCCCGAACUUCCCCGCGUAUCUUGCGGCCCGGGGCUCCAUUGCCCCCACAACAUGUUAGCAUCAUGUUCCAAAGCUCGGAAUGCACGCCCACAUCUCGUAGAACCACUUUCCUGCCAGCUCAGUCUCGACUGCUGCUUGGUUCAGGAUCAGUCAUGGCAGGACCAAGGCCUGACCAUGACACUAGACCUGAUAUAGCAUAUGCUGUGAGUGUGGCAAGUCCAUUUAUGCAUAGUCCUAAAGAAGUGCACCUACAGGCUGUUUAUCGUAUAUUGCACUAUUUGAAGGCCAAUCCUAGGAGAGAUAUCUUAUUCAAAAGAAAUUCAGGGUUAGUUCUAGAAGCAUAAACAGAUGCUAAUUAUGCAAGUUCAGUAACUGAUAGAAGAUCCACCUUAGGCUAUCGCACUUUCUUAGGUGGUAAUCUUGUGACUUGGAGGAGUAAAAAACAGAAUGUGGUGGCAAGAUUAAGUGCUGAAGCAAAGUUCAGAGCAAUGGCUUAAGGAAUUUGUGAACUACUAUGGUUAAAGAUUAUCCUAGAAGACUUGAAGAUCAAGUGGGAUGGACCAAUGAGACUCUACUGUGAUAACAAGUCUGCAAUAAGCAUUGCACACAAUCCUGUGCAACAUGAUAGAACAAAACACAUUGAAGUAGAUCGGCAUUUCAUAAAGGAGAAACUAGACAGUGGAUUGAUUUGUACACCUUAUAUAUCAACCAAGGGUUAACUUGCAGAUGUGUUGACUAAAGGUCUCGGUAGUGCAACAUUUCAAGAAAUUAUUUUCAAGUUGGGGAUGGAAAACUGGGAAUGGAAAACACCUAUUCACCAGCUUGAGGGGGAGUGUUGUAAAACACUUAUUUACAGCUGGUUAUAAUCUUGUAAUCUAUAUAUUUAUAUUUGUAUAUCUAGAAUUAAGUAUUUGUAUCCUUAAAAUUAGGAUAAACAAUCCCUCAAUUAUAGGAUUAGUUUUUUAGGAAGAUUUAGUUUCCUAGUUUAAUCCCUAGUUAGUUGUAUAUAAACCUAAAAUUCUUGCAUAAUUCUCAAUAAGCAGUUUUUCAACAUACAUUCAGUUUUCACACUGAUUUAUUUAUUAGUUUUUCCACAGUCUUAAAUCAAAACCAUGUUCUAAUUUUAUUUAGUUUGUGGCAGAAAUGAUUUAAGCGGCAGUUAAUAAAUUUUGCUUUGCUCAAAAUGAGCACAAUCAUAAACUUAACUCAAAAACUGAGCAUUUAUACAGUGCAUGCUGUUAUGGAACUGGUAGAGUUCUAUUUUAACCUUGUAGGAAGCUGUAUAAGAAUUACUCCCGAAUAGGGCUGGUUGCUGAGCUGAGUUGGUCUCUGGCUGAGUUAGAGAUUGAGUUUGUCUCUUUUAAACAACAAAGAGAUUAGUUAAACCUUGGCAUGUCAACUACCAUGGAGAUAUUAUCGUUAAGGGAAAAUUUACAAACAUCCCAUACUGUUCGCUCUUCCUGUUUGAUAUGAAAACAAUUAUCUAUCUUCUUUUGUCUCUCUUUAAUAUGCCUAUAUAGAGGGUGUCGAUAUCAUAUUUACUAUUUGACCAUACUCAAGAGUAACCGUAAUUUGCAUGGUUCAUUUACAAAUUUCUGAUUUUGUUAUUAUUGAAGCAUUAAAAUUUUUCACCACAAUGGAUCAUUGUUCUUUGAGAAGAUGUUUGACAAGUUGUUCCACGUGAGUAUUGUCAUUAGUUAGUGCUCUUUUUGUGAAGUGGUUUCAUAUGCACUUUCCUUGAUCUGUUGUUUAUUGUUCAUGCAGGCUGAUUGGAAACCAGAGUCACCAGAUGAAUUCGGUCCAAUUGCUGAACUUACUAAGUCCAUUGAUUCCAUGAAGGUUGAAGAAACCAAAUCACAAGGUUCUAUUUCUUCUAUGACUAAAACAACUUUGAUUAUCAAAUUCUCACUUGUAGAUGUGUUAACAUUGUUAAUCAUUUUCCAGGACAAGGGUCAACCUCCAAAAAACCUGCAUCUGUGAACCCUCCAGCACAGAAACCUGCUGCUUAUCACCCUCCACAUGCUAAGAAUGCAGCUGCAGUUCAGGCAGAUGUAUUCUCUGACAACUAUGGGGUAUCUUACAAUGAUGAUUUGACCAAAAUGCAACUUAUAAACAAGAAACAGAUAAGAGUUUACUAAGUAGUAAAAAAGACUUAGUUAUGAAAGAUCAAUUUUGGAAGUACACCUCUUUAAUAGACUCUAUCACUGAAGAUCCAGUUGCAAUUAUGGAAGAUGGAAGGGUAUGGAUUUGCAAAAUAUGAAGGAUACUGCAUCUCCUCCUAGCAGACUAUUACUUACAGAGUCAUACUGCAAAGGAAUAAUUUAUGGAUUCUAUAGCACUGUGCCCAUCUGAGUCUUCAUCUCAUUCUAUCUAGCUUAUGAAUGCAUUAUUAAGAUUGCAUUCCUGUAAAUUUAAUUGCUGUAUGUGGCCCUGACUAUCUUAGUGAUUUUGUAAUUCCAGUUGUUCGAGGGAGUACUACAGGGUGAGUUCGCUUAUUAUAAUUUUGUCCUACGUCUAUACAGUUUUGAUUUUUGCACUUUCGGGUGCUCACAAGUAUUCCAUGUUAGAAAUAAGCAAGAAUGCCCUCAGAAACAAGAAGAAGAGGGAGAAACAAAAAGAGAAAAAGGCAGCUGAGGCAGCUAAUGCGGCUGAGGCUACAUGAUAAGUGCAGUUUUACCCUAUAGCAAUGAAAACCAUUUUAACCUGGAUUCCUAGCAGUCACUAGUUUUGAUCUGUAACAUUCAUUUGUUCUGUAUGAUUUUGGCUUUGCUUACCUUUCCUUUAAUUUCUUUUUCCCAUUUUUUUACUAGGAAGGAGAGAACUGGGGAGGGGGUUGAGGGAGUAAAAAUUUUGAGCUGAGCUGAAAUAUAAGUACGUAUAAAAGCUUGUGUUCGUGUAUGCGCAUUUCUAUGUAGCCUGGUGCUUUCUAACCCUUGAUGUUGAUGGCCAGAUUGCGCUGCUGGUGAAAUACUAAAUGGCCACUAACUGCUGUUUACACUUGGGUAAAGCUUUAAGUUUAUGAAGAUUUGGAUGAUAUUUAAGAUUUUUAGCUGUUGUUUAAGUGACGUUGAAGGAAAGUAUUUAUGCUUGCCAAUACCUAGGUGUGGCAAAAAGGGAUAAGUUCCUGAAAUCCUUUGCCCUUCGAGACUAUAUCUCAUAAAUCUCAUCUUGUCCGUUUUAAGAUUGAAACUGAUUAUUUUCUAGAUGAAAUCCUGAACUAAAUCAUGUUUGGGCGUUUCUAAGGAAUUUUUUUUUUUUUUUAAUUUUUACGAAAUCUAGCAUAAUCUUAAAAGAGAAAUACAAAAUUUAAAUUUUAAUUUAAUUAAUUUAUAAAAUCACUUUGAAGAUAGGUUAUUCUUACGAUUCGAUGAGUUAAGUAUUUUAAAAGAACAUUUGAUAUGAUAAAUCUGAUUACGAUGAUGAAUUAUUAUUAUUAUUAUUAUUAUUAUUAUUAUUAUCCGAUAUGCUCUCAAUCUCGUUACACAUGCAGAGAAAGUUAUCAAAACAGUUUCCAAUUCGUGUUUAAUGUUUCAAACAUCAUUCAACCGGUGCAUGACUGACCUGUUUUUUUUACCCGAUUACCUGCAAAGAAGGAAUGCUUUCAUCAAGCUGCCAUCAUGGCUAAAUAGAACAACAAAAGAAACAUCCUGACAAAUUUUUGAACUAGUACCAUUAUGUCUCAAAAUUUCACGUCAGUCGUCCAUGUACCUUGCACACUAGGGUGUUUGGUUACAUGCCUUGUCUUCAAUCUCACCACCUUACUCCCCAAAGCAUUCCUCAGCCUGGUUGCAUGAAAAAGGAUAUCUUAUGGACUCAUAUUCUUCACACAUAUCACCCGCUCGUCUGAAAUACUCAUCCAAGAAAGUGACGUUGUCCACGGUUGAGUUCAGUAACUACCUCCAGCUGAGGAUUUUUCUCUUUGAAUGUUGGUAACUGUGACUCCAUAAAUGCCCUGGCAUAAUAAUACCAAAUAACUUAGCAUCUAUCUGAACAUGCUUCUCAUUAUUAUUAAUUACAAAGCUUGAUCUUGAGACUACCCAAGAAUAUGAGUUUUAAGGAUUAUUAAUUAACAAUGACUGACCUCAAAGUUGAAAGAGUAAAAAUUUCUCAGGUAAUGUUUGGGCAAAUUGGAUUCAUUAGCAAAUAAUUCCAGCAUUAACCAGGUUCAAGCUGAUGGUCAUUCACUUAAAAGUGAAAAGAUAAGUUGAACACGCUUAAACCUCCCUCACUGCAUAGGAACUUUUAAACUCUCAACAUUGACAGAAACAUGCCUAAACCAUCUCAAAAUUGGCAGACAAUUUUAGGGGGUAAAAGAUAUCCAUGUACAUUAAAAUUUAUACAGUGUUAUUUCCACUGAUUUAUUUCAAAACUAAACAAUCAUUCAAACAGUGGGGGCCAGCCGGCCACAGAAGAACCAGGCUAAUUUCACUUGAUCAAAAAAGGCACUCUGCUGAUUAUAUAGCCACAUUCCACUUCAACUUAUUCUUUUGGUCAAUAAAAUGAACAUUACUCUUUAUUAAAGAAAUUUCAAACGUUACAUGUGCAAACACUUGUGCAAGUGUUAGAUUUCUAUUUUCACCUUCUAUUUUCACCUACCAUAAAGAAUCAGUCAUCUCCCGUUACAAGACCAUUAAUAUAGAUAUAAGGCACUGAAAAGAAAAUAAAAAAAGGCAUUCCCGUAUUGUAUCAUGAAGUUCUUAGAAAACUCAUUCAUGUAAUAACAAUUCUUUGACUAGUGAAUGCUGCCUGUUAUCUCACCAUCCUCUCAACAUAUGGUUUCCAAGAAUUUCCCUCUCCAGCAACACCCAGAAGAGCCUCAGUCACAAGACAAAACAAAAGUGUGGGUAAAAGAGCCUCUCUCUAAUUUUUUUUUUGUCCAAGAUACUUUUGUGGAUGAUUAUCUGCAAUCUUCAAGUUUUCACUAUUAUUUCACUAGGAAACAAAGAUGAUUGAUGCAUAUGCAUGCAAUGCUGAUCUUGAGUACCCUAAUGUAAUCCAAAGUGCUAAGCGUUCAUAUGUACUUGUCCAAAUAUUAACGACACUAGCUUGCCUCAAGAAUAAUUAAUUUUUAUAUAGAAACAAGUCUCCAUAACAGAAACAUGGAUGUUAACAAGUAGAAGAGAGAAAGAAACAUACCUGAUUCCCCUACUACUCCCUCCCAAUCACAAUAGCUUACAAUCAGCUUUUUAAGUUGCCAAACUUCUCCUAAUGCCAUCUGCAUUUUCAGGUACAUAAACAAGUCAUCAACUAAUUACUUGCUUAAUCCAUUUUCUCUAGAGAAAAUUGCAGAUAAAACAAAUGAAUUAGCAACUGCAUCAAUUGUAAGUUCAUGUAUCCGUUGUUCAACUAGUCGAGUUCGAAUCUCACUACCACCAGAUUAAGUUUGUUUUUUAAUAAGUUGCUAGCUUAACCAGCGCUUAGGUAGUUAUAGGUUUAGGGUUUAAUUGCAUGUUAAAAGCUUUUUUGUCCGCUCUGGUCCCUCUGGCCUCACGGUUUUGUCCUAUAAAAGGCGCCUCACAAGGGUGUGAACCGUGACAAGAAGGCUGAUCUGAGAUGCCGGAAGGGUGAAUGCCCGGGUCCCGGAGCCGCGCGGGUUCGGAGCUUAAGUCUCGACCCGUGACAAGUGGUAUCAGAGCCAGCCCUAAACCGUUCGAUCCACGCCGAGCACCUCGAGAGAGGUAGGCAGGGUGGCCGGCCUCCGUGACGAGGGCGUCACGAGGUUGGGUGCGGGAGAAUGUCACGGACCCAAGGGAGAGUCCUGAAUCCCACAUCGAACAUAAUAGGAAGGUCACUGGAGUAUAAAAGGGUUCACACCACCUCCGCCUUGUGAGAUGCCUUUUGUAGGACAAAACCGUGAGACCAUGGGGUCAGAACGGACAAUACCUCAAUGACAGAAAAGCUGAUCUGAGACGCCGGAAGGAAAUUCAAAGAAUGAAAGAAAGAUGAAGCAGAGAGUGGAGAAGCUGCUUUACUUUCUGUGUAAGCAAGAACCUCGGUUCGGUCACUAGUAGUAGUAAAGAAACUUACUUUACAGUUGACGACGAAAAAGACCUCAGUCUUGGUUAUCGAGUUAUCUUACCUGACAGGGUCGGCUAGGUGAGUUUUAUUCCAUUCCCGUGCCAAAAGGAAAAGAGCUUGAUAUCCGGGCUUCUAUCGGUGAAGAAAUUAUAUCUUACCGAGAUUGUUCCAUGUUAUGCCUCCCGUGGUACAUACAAUACAGAGAAAGUAACCUUCGCGCUUCAGUUAUCGGUUUGGUUAAGCAAUUAGAUUGCCCUUCCAUGGUUGGCUAUCAAGUGAGAUGCCCAUCUAGGGCUUUAGUCGGCUAUCCUCUUUUUUUUUCUGCCUGCUUCUUUCUAGCGGCAAUGGGUCUUAAGUAAGGAAUUACCAUCCAGUAGCUCUUACCUAUAGGGGACGCGUCUGCCCGGUACAUGCAAAGGAACCUUCUAUCCCAUCGGUUAAUCAAAGAAAUUAGAUGCUCCUACCGAGGUUCACUGAAGUUAUCGGUUAAGGCUUCCCCUCCAUUGGAUCUGUAGGAUAUCGAGUUUUCUUACCGCCUCUAUCGGCUAUGGGAUAUGCAAUUCUCUUCCCUGACCUAACACAGAGCAAAGUAGACUUAUUUCGCGCUAGUGCUAGUACACGAGUAGACCGCUUUCACCUAGCUAUUGCUCACUAACAGAACCUCCACGUACUGGAGAAAAGAACUUUAGCUCUGCUUCGCUCUGCGCUGCUAAAAGUACUUGAUCCCGGAAGCACGAAACUCUUCUAAAAGCGGCAAGAAAAGAAAAGCUUUUCUAACUAAAGGGAGCCGUAGACAUCUCAGAAGCACUUGACUCUGACAUGAGUCUGAUUAUUUCGCAUUACCUUAUUUCCGCACCCGCACUUUAGUUUUUCUUCUGUUCAUUUAUUGGUUAGUCAGUUAUCCCUCACAUCACGGACUGUGAUCAAACUGAACUAUCUCGCUAGCCGUAUGACUGCCCGAGCUGCCAUGCCUUGGUUCUCGGAACACUAUCAUCCUGGAUGCCUGCUCGAAGAGUAGCUCUAUUCUAACAGCAGCCGUUUAUGCGUAGAGUUAGCCGGUUCCGGUAUUGGUAUACUAUUUAAUUAAGUUAAAGAGAACCACUAACCCUCGUGGAUCGAUCUGCUUCCCCUUAAAGUUCAAGAAAGUUGUGUUAGUUGGCGGUGGGACAAUUCCUUCUGCUUAAAGGCCCUAACUCUCUUGUUGAGAUAAGUAGCUGGACCUAGGAAAUAAAUCAUUGUCCUGGCUUUGGGAGCUAAGUCGAAGACGAGCUGACGAGCGUAAAAGGGAUGAGAUCGGUCGACUCCAUUGGAAAUGGGAUUUUAUGAGAAUCAAUAUACUUGGGAUCAGUUCGUCGCUUUGGCCCCGCUGCUGCCUUUCCUUGGACUUUUCCUCAUUCAACUCGGGCUCCUAUCAAGCUCAAGCUUCGCUUAGCCUACUGUGUAGCCUUCUUUCAUUGGUUGUAAGGUAUUCGAUUACUUACAAUGGCAUAUUUUCUUCUUAAAAGGUCCAAUGAGACUUCUUUGGAUUUGCUUUCUUCUUAUUUCUUACUUCUUAGUUCCACCGAUCCGAUCACGAGUCCGCUCCCGUCGAGCCUCUUCGACGACACUAGCCUAGGCCUUCUUCCCACUAGCCAUGACUUGGCCUAACCUUUGGCUCUGAUACCACUUGUCACGGCCCUAAGUCCUUCAAGCCCACAAAGACUUUCAGACAUAGCUCCAAAUGGUCUUCAUUCUAGUUCUUUUGCAACUGAUUAUGAAACAAAUUUCGAAGUAUAGGGAGGCGGCUUUAAAGACGGAAAGGAAUAAAAAAGCUCAAGGUCCUCCUAUCUAGGUCGAGGCUAAUUAUACAAAUGUAUAAGCAAGGCUCGGGAUAUGGAUUUCACCUUAUGGGGAAUAGGCUGAAAGAGCAAGAGGCAACCAAGACUUAUGAAGUGCGUUCAGGCUCACUUUCUUUAUAAAUGGGAACCCUAAUUCGAAAUAUGAAAGAAGUUUGCAAGAGGAGAGUCGGCCAAGGGAUCACAGUCUUCCUUCAGUAAAGGCUGGAUGUAAUUCAGUCUUCGCCCACCUUUCUAUAUGCGAGUAUGCGAUUGUUCGCUCGACCCGCCUGCCCAGUUACGAAAUAGUUAGCUCUUAAAAAGCUAGAAAUGAAAGGAAACUCAGUCUCUGAGUUGCUAGGAAUUCCCAAGCUUUUGCGAAGAAAGAAGCCUACUUGAAAGAGGGAUGCCAAGAGGAGCAAGCCUACAUCGAGCAAGUUGACUCACUUUAUCUUAUGUAAAGAGUUCACUAUUACGUACGACCCCGCGAGCGAAGGUCCGUCAAAUUGGUCUCAAAGAUUAUCAAGGGCUUUGCGCCUCUCUUACCCCUCCUUAUAUCCAAAGAAACUUUCCCAGCUGUAGUAGCUGUUCUCUUCCCUUCCAUCGAUUGAGCUUUCUCUCGCUUAAUUCAAGAGGGCCUUAGUAGACCGCUUUGAAUUCGAUAACUCGAUCGCUUCUUUGCUGGAACUGCCAUCUUUGCUGCUCUCGGCUUCUGAAUUCGUACCUUUCAAUAGCCAGUCUAGAAGCCCUAAUCUUGUAAGGCACGUGACUGCAUUCCUAAAUUCUAUCUCUGCUUCCUUCACUCCUUCCCGAAACUGACCUGUUUACACUGCACUCCUUCUUCCAACAAUACUGUAAGUGGGGCUGCCCUAUAUGGUCAAGCCAAGCAAAAUGGGAGUUUCCUCUUUGUAUCCUCUAGUCUCAAGACUUUCUUUCAUCUUCGAUAGGAGAGAGAAAAAAAUUAGGCAGUACCAGUACCUGAAUAAGGAGCAGUUCUUUCGACAGCUUGGAUUGGAAUCGAGCAUUUCUCAAGGUUAAUCCCCCUCUAUUUGCAUCUCGACAUGAAAAGUCAGAGGGACUGAAAGACUCAUAAGGUUCGUCUGCGGUAUCCCUUCCAUUUUUUUAGUUUAAUAAUAUAUUAAAGAGAAAAGGGAAUCCACGCUAAGAGAGAAAGAUGAAGGAAAGAAAGCACAUAGGGUGGGACCCUGUAAAAUGGAAUUGAGCUUGGCCCUGUCUCGGCCUUAAUAAGCAGUUUGAUCCUCUGCAUGAGGAAGUCACCUCUACAUCUUAGAAUGUCGGUAUCGAAGAAAGAGAGAAAUAUGGGUUAAUAAAAAGUUCCCAAGAAAGAUAGAUUUUUUGAAUCGACAGACAGAUAUGCUUUUUGUUUUGAACUGAGCCUGUUCCCACUCGUAUACCAGCCUUAGGUAAAGAGGCUUUCUUUGGCUUCUGCACUUAAACUUCUUUCUCUUAGGGGAAGCCUAAAGCUAGCUAUCUUUUCCUUGAAAGAGUUCCCGACUUGCCUUCAUGAAGAAAAGUCUUAGCCCGAUGAAUGAAAGCUUUGCCUUGUCUUGGGACGGUAGGCAAGUUUCGGUACUCAGUUCCAGGCCCUUUCUUUUCUAGUAAGGUAGUCCAUCAAGCCCUUCAAGCAAGCGGAUCGUAGAAAAACCACUUCUCUUCUCUGUCCUCCUUCUCAUGGGAACCAGGGAAAGGGGCAGGGGCUCUUGGUCUAGUAGCAGGUCCCACAUCUCUUUCCCCUCCUCCUGCUGCGAUUCCUGUCGCUGCUCUUCCACUCGAGCUCGACUUUUGACUUGCACCCAUACCGGUGGCCUCAGCGGAUUAGCCAUACGAACACUUCCAGGAGCCAUAUUUUCAAUAGUUGGGUUACUGCUACUACUCCCACUACCACUCGUACUACCCUGCUCUUGUACAGGAGGAAACCUUAUUUUCUUACCUCAGGGCUUUUAGAGGUGAGUUUGUUAAACAGUGGAAACAUAUUAGUUCUUUUAUCAUUUAAGAGAAAUUCAAAUGUUAUAUAGAUACGGGAGAAGAUUAAACCUCUCUUGGCGUGAUUUGAAUUAGACCAUCUCUAUCUAGGGAAAGAGUCCCGCCUUCGAUGCUUAAUAAGUACCGAAUCCAAGUCUAAUCCUAACUAAAUUCUAUACAUCAUAAAGACGAAAAAGACCCUUUGCCACUUCCUUUUUUCGUAGCUUAAAAGGCGUCCCUUUCUAUUAUUUGGAUAUGCCCUUCCUUAUUUACGCAAAUAAAGCCGCCGAAGAAUGGGAAUGCUAGACUCUACCAAGUAAAGCAACUCCAACUGCAACUGGCUCGCAAACUAUUCCUGCUUAGGGAUACAACCACAACCUAUGGCAACUCCCAAUGGCUGACUUACUCCAGCAUUGCCUUAACUUGCUUGUUAGCCUUAGGGACUCUAAGCCCUAUAAGUCGAACUCGCUCGCAGGUAGGAAGAAAUGGAACUCCAUGUAAGCUUUCUCCAAUUGGCUCACAAGAAAGAGGAAUGGCACGGGAAAGAGAUGCCACUCUAUUUGUAAGGGCAAGAACUGGUACUGCUACGAAAAUCCUGCUAUACUGGGCUUCCACUUCUGAUAUUCCUUUUUCAACACCGAAGAAAUCCAACACUGGUAAACUCAUAUCUCAAGGGACGGAGGUACCUUAGAUUAGAAGCCCAUACAUAAGUACUGGGACUUAGCUUAGGACUGCAGGAAAUAGGAUAGCCACUAGGCCAGCUACUAAAUACACACGCACUAAACAAUAUAUGGUGAAAGCAUCUUCUCUAGGAGAAAGAAAAGAAAUCCAUAUUUACAGGGCUUACCCCUACUCUUAUGCUUGACUAGAAAUUAUGCUUGCUUAACUUGAAAGUGAAAUUGGAACUUCCAGGCAAAUUCAUUCCUCUUUCACCCUCCUCUCCGCCCGCCUGUUUAGCAAUCCAGCUAUUGAGUGUACUACGAGGGCCAAAGCUGAGCUUUGGUCCACCACCUGGAUAGGGUUCUAGGGAAAGGGAAACAGAAGAGAGCUCUCUAUUGAUGGCUGUAGUCCCUUUUAGAGAAGCCUUCUUCUGCUGCCUUUUUCGGUUAGUUUAGGUCCUGGUCCUGAGUAAGAGCCAGUAAGGUGCUAGCCCGGCCCCUUGGUCUGGGUACAACUAGAGAAUAUUUAUCUGUCUUUCUUUUUGGGACUUUUUCAGCUUAUUGUUCCUUAUCUUUUAGGUAAGUGAAGUGACCAGGGCACGAACGCUCUAACAAGUUAAGGUCUUUCUCAACCAAAGCAUGUUGAUUGCACUUUAUGCAGAUAAAGUGAUCAAAGUGAGGUUUUUCCUUUAGGUGCUGUCUACGAACACCAUCCGCGAACAUCAAAGGCUGCGGUAUCUUAUCGAACCGAUGACCGAAUGGAUUGGCAAAAAGAAAACAUAGACACAUUGAAUUGAUCAAUACCCCUUUGUAUUGAAUGGGGAUCAGGUCAAACGUAGUUAUCUACCAAACAAGCAACGGACUGAGCGCCCUAGCGCGAAACAAGUCCUCUUAUCCGUUCCCAUACCCAUGGGCUACUUCACUCAUACGAAGGCUGGUUAAGAAGGAUAGCUUAAAGGGAUUGCAUUGGGAUAUUCUUUGAGUUUGGAGCCUUCCUUCCUGCCUUUGCUCUCUUGCUAUGAGUUAGAGACAAGCAGAACUAGCUAUUUUUUAGUCGAACUUACAUAGAUAGUGACUGUCAAAAAAAGGGGGAGGGAAGAAGAAAGAUCCCACGAACUGGUUUAGCGUAGCCCAGAAGGGCCUCGUUCUCAAGCGAAAUGGGGGACUUGUUAAGCUGCACAGUUGGCUUUUUGGGUGGGAACAUCGGUUGGGAGCUUUCUGUGGUCUUGGUGCACACUUGCUUUGGGGCAAAGGCAGUCAAGCAGGAAAGAUUGUGGAGAGAAGAUAAUCCGAGAUGUUGUAGGGGAGCCCACGAUGCCAAAAGACUUGAAUAGCCAGAGAGUUCGCACUCAUAGGAAGUGCGAUUCAGCAGAUUCUUUUGAACGCCGCUCAGGGUGAAAGUAAGUGAGACUCAAGGACUAGAGUAGCGUCAUCAGCAGACGAGCAAGGGUUAAGUGCUUGGCUUACGAGCCAGACCUCGAAGGGGCUAUCCUUUAGAAAAAAUGCAAGCUUUAGUUGGGGAAGCGGUUGAAACCUUUGGGAUGUCUUGAAAAAAUGAAAAAUGUAAAUAUGGCACCAAGAAAAUGAGUUCAUUCCUGCGUUUCCCCGCUUCGCUUCCUUGCUUUCACCUCUCUUUUUCAUUCCAUUCCCCUCUCCUCUAACGGAACGGCUAGAAUAGAAGGUAAAGUCCAGCUCUUUCGCCAAUAAAUGCAACGAGAUGCCUUUUUCUUUUGCUUUCCACUUUAAAAAAAGGCCUUCCAAGGCUAGUCAUUCAUCUGAUGACAAUACGACUAGUCGCCGACCUUCUUUCCUUCCCAUCGGAACAAUCGGCUGGCAUUCUGACUUUCCUUCUAAGAAUAUCCUUGUAAUCGGCACGCCUCCUACCAAAAAAAAUUCGGUCAGUGGUCAAUUGGUGCUCACCCAACCAUUUUCUCUCUUUUACUCUCCCCAACAAUCUUUAUUGAGAAACGGGGAAUCACACCUUCCUUUCUCUUCUGCCGCUUUGAUCUCUUGUGCCGUUGCCGGUGUGAAUUACAAUUCCGACGUGACUCAUCUAUCCGCUCUGGGGGGGAAGAUCGAUGAGCAUUCCUGCCAGCAACCAUCGGUCAUCGGACAUUGGCGACUGCUUUCUUAGGAAGCAUAGCAGUUAGUUGGGAAAGUAGGAAUUGAAGAAGAAGGAGGUUAGGUGACUACGCUUCUCUAGUUCCUUCGAAAAAGCAGGUUAGGCCUUGCUUGCCUUGGAAGCAUCGCUUUAAGCCUUUGUGACAGAUAGGAGACUUUAUCCUAUCCCCUUGGAAGCACACCUCCUGUAGUCGGAAAGCUAUCCCUUUAAGUUAAGAAGGGGUAACUGACUUAUAAGCAGGGAGGGAGGAAGUAGCUCGACUGAAAGUUGAGGUAUGAAAUCGCUCAACCAACGGGAGAGGAGAGAAAAGCCUAAAUAAUACGAGCUAGCCCUACCGCGGAAGCACCAAUCAAUGUAAUGUAAACCCUCCUGCCGGGCUAAGCACUGAGUACUCUAUUAACUUCAACUCAACAGUCCAUGAUAAAAUAAAGAUCGAAAUUAAAUACUACGCUUACUACGCUUUUUCUGUACCAAUGAUAGUCGAUUGAAUUGUUUAAUCGGAACACCGUAUAAAGAAUCUAUACUUGGUACACCGUAUAAAGAUAGUCAAUCUAUACUCCGUUCUUGGACAGUUCAACAGAGGAUAGUUCUUUCGUGUUCCUUAAUAACUUAAUAAGGGUUCUCUUUACCUUUUGAGCGGGAGAAAGGUUCGUACCUCCCAACACCACUCCUUCGUGUGCCUCCGUUUGCUUUCUUAGUGCUGACACCUUCGUAUGCCGAUCUUACAAUGAAGCGGCAGAAGAACCUAUUUGACAAUAAUCUAUCAGGAACUUCAGAAAAAAGAUUGGAAAGUAAGGAGGAUUUCGUACUUUUAUAGUCUCUGACCGAACUCCCUACUCUCUUAGGUUUGAUCUUGGAAGCGCCGAUGUUAAUGAUCUCUUCUCUUGUGGCUUGACUGCUAUCCUUUCACCAAAGAAAAUCGUACUUCCACGGGGAAAGGCUAUAAGGCCCUAACUAAGCUUGCUUGGAUUUAGUCUUUAUUCAGUUGAAUGCCGCAGAUCGUCUUCUGGGAUUACUACUAAGAGUCUUCCUUCAAAGAGCCUUUAUCCCGCUAAGCAUCCGAUGUAAACGAAUCGUCUGAAUCAAACAAACAAUUCCUCUUCUCAACAGCAGUCGUUAGGCCUCCCACCAAUAGUUCAGUUCUUUAUUCGUAUAAAAAAGGUUCGGUACAGAUCGUAUGGUAAAUUCAGGAAAGCACGAUCAAGGCUUUGCUUUGACAUAGAAAGGAUAAAAGAAAAAAAUCCCUUCACAACCAGCCUUGCCUUGUUAUCUUGGUUGUGAGCUGUUUUCAUCAAAUUUAAACAUGUAAACCCAUUUGUUUUUUAGUGCCUUUUUGCCUUACUCUAACAAGUAAGACUUCGUUCCUGAAUCAGGAAUUGCGGCGUUUCCGAUGCGAGGGAACGGGAUCGCUGAGUUCUUUAUAUCGAUAGAAUCAGGUCCUUAAAAGAACCCGAACUUUGGUUAUAAUCAAUAAAAAGAAUUGGAUGAUCACGUCUGUCUUUAUAUAGAUUUAUACUAAGGUACCGUGCCCUAAGGCGGAUGCCCCUUGCUUGACCGGAGGGAGAGGAGCACACCCUUGGUCUUGAGCCUCUUGUUUGACUAGUCCAGUAAAGAAUAAAGGAGGUGGUCACAUCGAGUAAAGUAAGUCAAGAUCCAUUCUAUUUGAUAGCAAAUCCUUAUUGGCACACCCAAGGCAGAUGAAUGAACUCAACCUCGAGACCUGAUUCCGACUCUUACUCUUGAUUUCAAGGAUCAGAUAAACAGGGAAUUCUGUAAGAAGCCCCGAAAGAGUGCCAUGACAGCUCAAAAAGAGAUAGAAAGAACAGGCCGGGCAACCCCGCUAGAUAGGCAAGGGCAGCAUCGGUAGCUCGAUCGGCAAGGCUGUGGGUCAUAGGCACAAGCGGUACCAACCCAAUCGGCAAGGCAUAAGAUAGGGGGGCUCCUCACGCACAAUCCACAAGAGGGUCGGUAUCUCUUUUCAUUGAUUGAUGAGUAAGGGCUCGAUAGAAUGCUUGAUCGAUGAGGGAAGGCAACGCCUUAACCAAGUCAUCGCAUUCGUCGCACCAAUCAAAGAAAGAACCCGAUCCGCGGACCUGGAGGAGGUAGAAUUCUGAAUACGGGUACGAAGGGUCAUCCAGAAGCGCUGGAAGGGCUGGAGGAAGGGGACGAACCGCAUCGAUUGAGUUAUAUCCGGCAGGCUAAGACCCACGUACCUAGAAAGGAAGGGGAAAGUCUUACCUUUUGGAAACAUAAGGCGCAUCAGAAAGGAAUCCGCUUAGAUAGCCAGAUUCACGAGCUGAGGACUAAGUCGAAGUGAAAGUAUGUGCCAUUGUUAGUGCCAAGACCCUAGAAUAGUGAACACCAAGUGAAGAGCCACCCUCCGGAACGUCGAGAAGGAGUCCGUACCGUCCGGAGGGAACGAAGGUGACCGAAGGGGUCCGUUUUCGAUAACGUAUUCCAGUUUCAUAUCAUAGUCUUAGGUGGGAGGGGGGGAAGGAGAAGAGUGGAUCGGUAAGUAGAGAGGUGUUCGAGUGUUUGAAGCGGCAGCAGAAGAAUCUUAUCAAAAUGGAUGGACUAGUUAGGUAUAUUCGUAGGAGUCAGCGCACAAAGAUUCUAUACCAGUAGAAUACACAAUGAUUCUCGAGCAACUAUUCUCGUAGAAUACACUACACAAGGAUUCUCUACAAAAAAGAGGAGUUAGCGCUCUAGUAGGGAAGGGAGGACCUCUUGAAUGGCAACAAACGAUUCUGCCAUUCCUGGCUAAGUAUGAAAAGAUGAACUCUUUCAUAAUGGAAGGAGAAGUUCUCCGUGUUUUCCGAAUCCUGUUUUUGGAGGUAUGGCUGAGUGGCUUAAGGCAUUGGUUUGCUAAAUCGACAUACAAGAAUCCUUUCUUUAAAGAUUGGGUUGGUUAACCUUCCUACCCGGCGGGGUUUAGUUUGUUGAAGUCAAUAAGGGCUAAGGUAUCCCGCUCCUAUCACCCGAGCAAUAGACAAUGAAGAAGUGGUUCUUCCCUUUUUCCUAUGAGCUAGCGCUAGAGUCUUAGUAGGACGACUGCUCUUAGAGUAUCGGCCUUUUGUUACAAUAAAUAGGAUUUAGUCGGGUCACAGAAGAGUACGUAUUUCUAUAUGCCCAAAAAAGGCUCUCCCCCCGAGGGGCCUCUCAAUAGAAGUUAAAACGGCAGCAAAAAUAUGCAAUAUCAUUUAGUAAGAGAAAAGUCCGCCCACCUCUGAUCCAAGCUUAGCUCCCAAAGUCGGGAUUUCUUCCUAAACCUAAAGUGAAGACUUAUCCCCGUAUAGACUUUUGGGUAUAAAGUGGGUCACUCUGUCAAGAUUCAAUCUUUCCCCCGAUCUUUCUUUUCUUUGAGUCAGUCCGCCCUAGGGUGCAGCUCUCUUCCCUACUUAUUGUAUAAGAGAGUUGUGCUUCUCUUCCCUGAUUUCUUCCACAGCUUUCUCGAGCCUGCAGGUUGCUGCUAUCCCCCGAAGAGAAUAUACGAAGAGGUUCUUCCUAUUAUGGAAUGCAAGAGCAAAAGCGGAAAUCCCAAUAUUGUAAGAGAAGGCCCAUCUCUUUACUAGAAUCCGAUGUGAUAGAAGGUUAUGAAAUAGCUUAAGCUUAAGUCGAUCCUUACAACAUAGAAUAGCCGAACGAAUUAGCCAUAGAGCUCAUCCCCGGUUAAAUAGUUAUAGUUGAUGAUUUCUUGAUGGUUGACUGCUAUAUCAACAUUAGAGAAUCGACUGGGAACGAAUACUUUUUUCUCUUCUUCAUUUGCGACUGGAAUUUUUGUUACCCAGCUCUCAAGGAAGAAGGAAGCUUCAGAGCUGGAAAGGCGCACAUCUCCAGUAGUACACUUAGCUUACACCUUCUUUAAACUUUCACAUGAAUUUGAAUUUUUACGAAAAAGAAAAAGCGAGAAAAAUAGGGCUUUCUUUUUACCAGUCUCAAUAGUACUCUUUACAGCUCUGUAAGUCCACUAGCAAUACACCAGUACAGUAAGUCAGUACAGCACUAGCAAUAGCAGUACCCAGUACAAUAUGAGUCAGGUCUUAAUCUUUAUUCCAAGAUCCUUAAAAAAAAUGUUAACUAGAAAGUAAAUGAGAUUUCUAAUCAAAUCAAUCUACUUAUCGUAUUUUUUUUUGCCCCUUCAAGUAUUGUUUUGUUGGCCCGAAGUCUCCUUUAUUUUUUGGAUGGGGAUCAGCGCGUAGUUAAGAUAAGGUUUGCCCGGAAAGACUUUCUUGAUAGAACUUUGCCUUGUUGAAAGAAGUAAAGUAAGGCCAGUAGGGACCAUCAGAGGUUCGGGACACCAGUCUAAUUCCUCAUCUCUAAGCAAUUGGUUGUAGUAGGUGAUGAGGUCCUUCUCUAAUUUCAUGAGGAAGUCCGAAUGUUUAUGAGUCAGGGCCCGCUGGAUGCCCUCUAGCCGGGCUAAGGGUCGGCGCUUGUUGUGAGUUUCCGAAAACUGCCUUAUUCCAAUCCUUAAACGCUACUGAGGGUGCAGAAGUGAUAGAAUGGCCACUUUUUCGGAUGGACUUGCUUGAAGAUAUUGUGUAACUGAUCAUUCUAGAUAAGAGAUAUAGGAAGGAGUGAGCACGGCAACCUAGACGGAUGAAGCCGAUUUGACAACAUUUAGUUGAAAACUUCAAGCAUCACUACUUUAUCUUUAUUAACGCUUUUUGGGUGUUGAGUUGAGCUAUCUUUUCUUUCGAAGCGGCAGGAAGAAUCUUUUGAAGAAGCCAGUUUGGCCUUCGCCUUCGAAACCGAGCCAAUUGAAACUAUCACAAUUGGAUUGCUUUUUGCCAACAAUAAGUUGGAGAUUGAACUUAUUCGUUCAUUUCAAGGCAACUUGUCAACAUUGACAUGAUUGAAAUCUCUGCCUUUGUUUUUGUUGCUAUAUCGAGCGGAUUUGCUUACAGUGAUGCCAACCGAAUGCGGGACAGAAUAUAGGAAUUGAUUCAGCCUUCGCUCAUUUUUUCAUAAUAACGUUCGAAUCUCCACUACUUCCUUUUUUCGACUACCACUACCGACCUUUCUUCUCCUCUCUCGCCAUAAGCCCAGGUCUGAGUUAUAGGUAAAGCUCUCAAAGCAAAGUCAAUAAAAAAAGACCGGAGCGGCAUCUUUUUCUUCUAGUAGACCGACUCUGACUAUUGAGAUCUAGCUAGGUUGACUCUUUUCUUUCAGUAUAAGUAAGAUUGCCCUUUCGCCGACUAUUAGACUCUAUUCUCUCCGGGAUUCAUCUCCCGGAACUAGGUGAUUACCCUUCGCUUCUUUAUCUUCUAGGGAAGUUCCCCAAGGAAAAGAAAGACUAGUGCCUUAAUUUAGAUAAAUUACCACGAAAGUUCCCUUCGUAAAGGGUAAGUCAAUUGGCUUGAUAUAACGAAGACAAAGAUUUUGCCUAAACCAAGUCUGAUUUUAUUUAAAUGGUAGGUAAUCCGCUUUCUUUUCAGAGNNNNNNNNNNNNNNNNNNNNNNNNNNNNNNNNNNNNNNNNNNNNNNNNNNNNNNNNNNNNNNNNNNNNNNNNNNNNNNNNNNNNNNNNNNNNNNNNNNNNNNNNNNNNNNNNNNNNNNNNNNNNNNNNNNNNNNNNNNNNNNNNNNNNNNNNNNNNNNNNNNNNNNNNNNNNNNNNNNNNNNNNNNNNNNNNNNNNNNNNNNNNNNNNNNNNNNNNNNNNNNNNNNNNNNNNNNNNNNNNNNNNNNNNNNNNNNNNNNNNNNNNNNNNNNNNNNNNNNNNNNNNNNNNNNNNNNNNNNNNNNNNNNNNNNNNNNNNNNNNNNNNNNNNNNNNNNNNNNNNNNNNNNNNNNNNNNNNNNNNNNNNNNNNNNNNNNNNNNNNNNNNNNNNNNNNNNNNNNNNNNNNNNNNNNNNNNNNNNNNNNNNNNNNNNNNNNNNNNNNNNNNNNNNNNNNNNNNNNNNNNNNNNNNNNNNNNNNNNNNNNNNNNNNNNNNNNNNNNNNNNNNNNNNNNNNNNNNNNNNNNNNNNNNNNNNNNNNNNNNNNNNNNNNNNNNNNNNNNNNNNNNNNNNNNNNNNNNNNNNNNNNNNNNNNNNNNNNNNNNNNNNNNNNNNNNNNNNNNNNNNNNNNNNNNNNNNNNNNNNNNNNNNNNNNNNNNNNNNNNNNNNNNNNNNNNNNNNNNNNNNNNNNNNNNNNNNNNNNNNNNNNNNNNNNNNNNNNNNNNNNNNNNNNNNNNNNNNNNNNNNNNNNNNNNNNNNNNNNNNNNNNNNNNNNNNNNNNNNNNNNNNNNNNNNNNNNNNNNNNNNNNNNNNNNNNNNNNNNNNNNNNNNNNNNNNNNNNNNNNNNNNNNNNNNNNNNNNNNNNNNNNNNNNNNNNNNNNNNNNNNNNNNNNNNNNNNNNNNNNNNNNNNNNNNNNNNNNNNNNNNNNNNNNNNNNNNNNNNNNNNNNNNNNNNNNNNNNNNNNNNNNNNNNNNNNNNNNNNNNNNNNNNNNNNNNNNNNNNNNUCUGAAAAUAAAUUCUCUUGGAAAAGCUCCUCUACUCUCAGCAGAGGCUCCACAAUUUUAAAAUUCACAUCUGAAAAAACUCCUCUCAACAGAGGCUCCACAACUUUAAAAUUUCAUCUGAAAAAAGCUCCUCUCAACAGAGGCUCAAUAACUUUAAAAUCUCAUCUGAAAAAGCUCAUCUCCUCUCAGCAGAGGCUCAAUAACUUUAAAAUCUCAUCUGAAAAAGCUCCUCUCAACAGAGGCUCCACAACUUUAAAAUUCUCAUCUUGGAAAAGCUCCUCUCAGCAGAGGCUCCACAACUUUAAAAUUCUCAUCUUGGAAAAGCUCCUCUCAGAAGAGGCUCUACAACUUUAAAAUUCUCAUCUUGAAAAAGCUUCUCUCAGCAGAGGCUCCAUAACUUUAAAAUUCUCAUCUCGAAAAGCUCCUCUCAUUAGAGGCUCCACAACUUUAAAAUUCUCAUCUUGAAAAAUUUGACGCCGUAAGUCGAAAAAUAAUGAAUCAAUCAAGAUAACAUUGCGAAUCGAUUUUAUGCCCGGAGGUCUUAGAAAUUAUGCCCUGUGGUCUUACAGAAUUAUGCCCGGAAGUCUUAGACAUCAUGCCUGGAGGUCUUAUAGAAUCAUUCGAAAGUCUUAAAAAUCAUGCCCGGAGGUCUUACAGAAUCAUCCAAAAAGUCUUUAAAAUCAUGCCCAGAGGUCUUACAGAAUUACUUGAAGGUCUUAAAAAUCAUGCCCGGAGGUCUUACAGAAUUAUCUGAAGGUCUUACAAAUCAUGCCCGGAGGUCUUACAGAAUUAUCUGAAGGUCUUACAGAAUUAUGCCCGGAGGUCUUAGAAGUCAUACCUGAAGGUCUUACAGAAUCAUCCAAAAGUUUUAAAAAUCAUGCCCGGAGGUCUUAGAGAAUCAUCCAAAAAUCUUAAAAAUCAUGCCCGGAGGUCUUACAGAAUCAUCUAAAAGUUUUAAAAAUCAUGCUCGGAGGUCUUAAAAGUCAUGCCCGGAGGUCUUAUACAGAAUCAUGCCCGGAGGUCUUAUAGAAUUAUCUGAAAGUCUUAAAAAUCAUGCUUGGAGGUCUUACAAAAUCAUCCAAAAAGUCUUAAAAAUCAUGCCCGGAAGUCUUACAGAAUCAUCCAAAAAUUUUAAAAAUCAUGCCCGGAGGUCUUAUAAAUCAUGCUCGGAGGUCUUACAGAAUCAUAAAAUCUUUGAAUGCUCCUCAUAAUCAGAGGCAAUGAAACUUUAAAAUUUUAAAAAUCUUUUAACACAUGGCUUUCGCUUGAUCAGAGAUCUUUAAGACUUUAAAGGUCUUUUUUUUUUCUUUUGAAAAAAGUUCCCUCUGAACAGAGGCUUUGAAAUCUUGAUUGAAAUUGAUUCUUUUUAAACAGAGGCUUUCAAAUCUUGAUUGAGAAUGGUUCUUCUGAAAUAGAGACUUUAAAACUUCAAAAAAAAUGCCUCCCUUUUUUCGAAGUUGAUAAAUGUAAACAUGAUAUAAAUAUCUAUUCUCAUCAAAUGCAGCUGAUGCAAAUGUUAAUGCCAACGUAAGAAUGCAAAUGCUUGAUACAUUUGACUUUUUCACAAUGCAAAUGACAAUGUCUUUUUCAUGUAGAUGCCCCUACAAAUACCUUUUCUUAAGAUGCAGAUGCCAUGAUACAAAUGCAAAUUCUUCUUAUGACGUGAAUGCAAAUGUCUUAUACAAGUGAUGCAAAUACGAAUGUCUUUCUUGUGAUGUAGAUACCAUGAUGCAAAUGCAAAAACUCUUAUUGCCCCACUUUUUUUUUGUGAAAAAUUUUUGUUUUUGUCUUUUUUUUUAUUUUUAAAAUUUGUUUAAAUUUUUAUUGUUUUUCUUUCACCCAAAAAAUGAUCUCAGUAUUAUGUGUAAAAUGCUCCAAUAAUCUUGAAAAUUUUCAAAAAUGAUCAACAAUUGGCCCACAUAAAGUAUCUUUGCAAUUGAAUGAAAAAAUUAAAAACUUAAGACUUUUGAAUCUCUUGAAAAUUGAUGAUUACUCUUUGGAAAGCUUAUGGAUGGGAGGGUAAAUUGACACUUCAACUCUUUUUACUGGUUGGCAUAUCUCAUGGAAAGCUUGACGAAGGUUGCAAGGAUUUCUUUUGGGUUCCCAAAAGAGAUAAAAAUUUUUUUAAAACACUUUUUUUUAUUGAAAACGUGAUACUCCAAUGUGAGUCGAAACUAGUCAUUACUCUUCAAACAAGAUUUGAGAAGAAGGUAAGGCUUUUUUUUUAGAAAGGUCUUUAAUGGGUACUAGUCUUUCAAAGGGUUUUGUAUCGAAACUUUUUAUUUCGGAUAGAACCUUAAAACUCUGAAAUUCAUUUUGGGGCAUUAAAAAAUGACUUUAGCUCUAAACUGCCUUUUUGGGGUUUUCACCUUAGAGCUAUUUUUUUUUUUAUCAAUGAAGGAUUCAACAAGUAUAUACAAAUUCAGGGAUAUUGCUCUUCAAUCUAAGUAUCCAUAUUUGAUCAAAAUGGGCUUUUCAAGGUAUGUAAUGUAGGCUAAGGUUAAGGGUUCUGAAAAAAUAGAUAAAUAGGCUCAAAUAUAUUAUUCAGGGUGAUUAGGCCAAGGAUCCUGAUGAGCACUCUCUGACUUUCUUCUUUUGCCCCCCCCUUUUUUUUGAAACAUUUGGCUCUAGCAACUUUACUCACCCCCCCUUUUUUUUUUACCUUGAAUUUUCAUUUUCAAGGUAUAUAUAUUUUUUCUCUUUUUUUUAUUUUUUUUUCGAAUUCUAAGUGAAGCUUCAGAUUCUUAUCUCUAAGGUUUCUUUGUUUUGCCUUAGAAAUACUUAACUUUAUCUUUGGCUGUUUACUUUCUUGAAUCUUGAAAUUUCAAUCGAAGCCUUGUUCACUUUUUACCCCAGACUUUCACCUCCGAAGGGCAUGUUAGAUGCUUCCAAUAUCGGAUACUUUCUUUGAAGUUAAUCUUGAAUGUAUCCUAAUUUUUCUCCCUAAUGUAGAAAAUGAUCCUUGGCUAGGGUUUAUUUUGGAACAAAAAAUUUAAUAGGCUCAAAUGGGUAACAAAUGGAUAAUUUUUAUGUACGAGAAGGAUAGAGAAAGAUGGACAUUCAUAAUUUCAAACAUGAUCACUUGGGUAGAAGAGCAAAUCAUUGAAUAUGUCCAUUUUAUUUUUUUCUUCUUUUUUUAUUUUUAUUUAUUUUUUUUAUUUUUUUUAUUUUUUUUCUUUUCAUUUUUUAUGCCCCAUCCUUUUUUACUCAAGGUUCUAAUGAUGAUUAAGUCGUAUAGGAUUGAUCGUAUAGCUCAAAAAGGCUCUUUGGGCUCUAAAUUUUUUGGCAUUUUCUUGGUGAAAAGAAAAAAAAAAGGUAUAAAGGUAUGAAAUAAAUUGUCUUAGGCAGAAAGGGAUUUUUUUUUUCAAUGUGCCUUAAGACAUGGAACAAAGGUUAUUUAAGAAAAAGGCUCAAGUGUUUUUGUAUCUAUGGUCAUAGCAAAAUUUUAACACACAUUGGACUAUCGAUUGAAAAUUUUGAAAGAAUAUCUGAUUUUUUAAAUUCAAAACAAACUUUUAAAAUUAAUCUCUUUUGUUCUUUGCCCAGGAAAAGAUUUUCGGUCUUUUAAGGUCUGAAUUCAAACUCACAUUCCCUAAAAGGUUAUGGUUGAUGAGUCCAAUCAUUUAAGUGAUUAAGGACAUGAAAGUAUUUGAAAAGGUGUGGAGGUAUUUGAUGAGCUUUUUCCUAAUAGUAAUCACCAUUUCCUUUAAGAAUUCUUCCAUCUUUAUUACAGAAUAAAACUUUUUUUUCCUUUUUUUUCUCUUUUUUUUUAAAAAUUAUUUAUGUGGGACUUUUAUCCAAACAAAUGCAUAAAGAGAAAAUUUUAUGGAAAAAAAAAUCCAAAGUAUUCAAUUCUUCCAAUAAUAAGUUAAAUAACUCCUAGAGACACAAUGCACAUGUCCUACAUACAUAGUAGAAAAAGAAAUCAUCCUAUCCUGAUUUUCACAACUUGACACCUCCCAUUUCAUCUCAACUUCUCACAUUUGACAAUUGAAUGGAGUCAACAACUUCCAUCGUUCUAUUACCUCCGGAGUCAGAAUACCAUUCUUGAUAAGAUCUUCAACAUUUUCUUCCAACUGCCUGCAUUUUUCAGUUGAGUGGCCAAUUGCCCCCAUAUGGUAAUCACACUUAUCAUUGGGAUUGUAACUCCUUGUUGAUGGAUUUGGUGUUAUUUUUAGAGGCACAAGAGUGAGAUAUCGACCUUCUAUUAGCAAAGGUAAAAGGUGAGAAACAGGGAUGGGUAAUUUUUCUUGAUCAUUCCUUAGUCUCUUUCAAUUUUUUGCUGAUCGGGUGGUGGAUUCAAAUGUGGGAACAAGAUCAUGAAUGACCACUUGAGGAUGAGAGUUUGCUGGAAAGCUCAAAUGCUGGCUUGAUUGGCAAAGAUAUGGGUUUUGAGAGAUAUGGCUUAUGGCAAGGUGAUAGGGUUGAUAAGCAAGAUAAGGAUUGUACGGGAUAAAGCUAUUAGGUAGAUGCCCCUCCAGUGUGACUGCUUGCACCUCUUCUUUAUUAUGUUCUGAUGUACUUUCUUUUUCAAUAUCUGUCGCAUCUUUUAACUUAAUCCUGUCACUCUUAAUUGCAUUUUCUAUAAUGUCACCAGAAAUUAUCAUGUCCGAAAAAUUUUUAGAGAGAUUCUCAAUCAUUCUUUCAUAAUAAGGAGUGUCCAAAGAAUUGACAAACAGAACAGUAAUUUUUUUCUCUGAUAAAGGUGAUUGUACUUGAGCUGCUAUGUCUCUCCAUCUAUGUGUAUAUUCUUUGAAUGUUUCAGUUGAUCUUUUUUUCAUGUUCUGCAAGGACAACCUAUCUGGCAUCAUAUAUUCAACAUGCUUGUAUUGUGCUAGAAAGGCCCUAGCUAAUUCAUUCCAAGAGCAAAUCUUACUUCGGUCUAACUGAGCAUACCAUCUUGCUGCAGCUCCAAUGAGACUAUCUUGAAAGUAAUGGAUCAAUAAUUUAUCAUCAUGAGUGUAGCCUAUCAUCUUUCGACAGUACAUGGUAAUGUGUAUUAAAGGGCAUUUUGUUCCAUCGUACUUCUCAAAACUUGAGGCUUUGAAUUUUGAUGGAAUAACAAGAUCAGGUACUAGACUAAGUUCACUGACACCAAUAUUCUCGUACACAUCAUGGCUUUCAAUUGCUUUCAGUCUCCCUUCCAACAGAUCAUACUUACCUUUCAUCACUAUAUCUUCUGAUGGAUCUGGUACCUUUUUCAAUUUUUUUAAUUCUUUAUGAUCAUCCACAUUGGGCACAGUAGUGAAGUCGUGAGGAGUAUGCCCAAGAUUAACAUUUGUCUGAACUGAUGGUAACUUAGCAAAAUGGCCAACAUAAGGUUGAUCAGUUGUUAGAGGUGCUUGUGACAUAUGGGGAUCUUAAACAUAUGUGAACCCAGAUGGAUACAAUGGUGUCUUGAUAGCUGUUUCCUUCCUUGUCCUAUGCGUCUCAGCAACUUCUUUUUCUUUUAUCAAUUCCACUAUCAUCUGUUUUAAUUCUGUCAGUUGUCUAUUCACGUUUUGUUGCAUUCUCGUAACUGUUUCACCGAUCUUUCCUUGGGCCUUUUCUACUUUGUCCAUUUGACUAACACCUUCAUUUUCCAUGAUUAUGGUACUGGCUCGAGUGCUAUAAGUGUGCAGACUCAACUGACCUUGUUUCCUAUAAUAGCUAUCCUUGAACCUUUUAUUAAUUACCAGAAGUCAGAAAUGCAUGGCAUGAAUUCUAUUAUAUAUAUAUAUAUAUAAAAUUUGCUUCGAAGGUUAUGACAAGUAUAUUUACAAUUAUCAUUCCUCAUCCUUAGCUGGCAUGAAAAAUAAUGAAUUCAAGCAAAUGAUGCAUGAUAUGCAAGUCAAAUUUUAUUACUUUGGUGAGGGGAAACUUGAAUUCCAUCCUAUGUUCAAAAUGGGUCAUCUAGAUAUAUCCUUUCUGUCUCAAAAGUUUGGUGAAAACAUACUUGUAACCAUCAUUCUUUUUUCCACUUUUUUUUAGGCACGCCAAUAGAAUAAACAGAUGCAUCAAUUCAUAAAAAAUCUAGGUUAAAAGAAGUUUUCAUUCAUUUUUAAAAGCAUCAAGUUUACACAUCAUGAACCAUUCUAGGACUAGAGCCAAAAAGUGCUAAACAUGCUCCAACUUCCCUUUGUCUUUCCUAAAAAAUAGUUGACUAUGAUUACUAGGGAGGAUAACUCUUUGCUUAAAAAGCUUUUUAUUCAUCAUUCUGACCAACUUUACUGUUAUCUGCAGCACUGCCUACCAUUUCGACAUGGAUCAAAGAAGGGUUCUUAUGAAUAACUGGCUUCAUUUUGGUAUCAAAACUCAGAUAUCUGGCUUUUAUCAAUCCUUGCACCCUAUGUUUCAAAGCUGUGCAAUCUUUCAGAGAAUGACCCACAACACCAAAAUGGUAUUCACAUUGGGCAUUAGGGUUAUACCAUUUAGGAAAAGGUGGUUUACAAGGUUCAGCAGGGAUAGGGGCAAUGAGGUAGUUUUCUAAGAGCAGUGAGUAUAACUCUGUGUAGGACAUGGGUAUUGGAUCAAUAGGGGCUUUUCCUUUAGUGUUACCAGAGUUUUUCUGUCCUAUGGUUGGUUUAUUUUACUGAAAAGGUGCUAGUAUAGUUGGUCUCGAGGUGAAUUGAGAAACUUUGGAUCGAAGAUUGGGUUCAAAAAGUAGUGACGGGAUAGCAUGCUGACCAGAUGAUUGUGAAACAUGAGAUGGUGGAUAUGGGUUCAGGUGUGAAAUUCUUGGUGGUUGCAUGAAAAUUAGGGGUCUAAUUCUAGGUGCUUGGAAAUGAGGUUGAAAAUGGUCAUAAGGAGGAUUUAGGUAUGGGUUAGGACUAGAGAUAGAUGGUUGUUUGAAGCUAGGUGACUCCUUAUUGGAAAUCAAACUCUUGAGCUCAGUUAUUUGCGUGGCUAGUUCACCCAUUCUUCUCUUAAGUUCGCCCAAACUUCGAUCACUGUUCAAAUCACCUAAUGCUUUAGCAUACUCUGGCAGAGUGUUGGAACUAAUGGGAGCUAAUUGACCUUGACUUGAUGGUAAUGACAAUGGUCUUUGAGGAGGAACAAACUCAACUCCAUCACUUCCUCUAAUCAUUUCUAUCAAUUGAGCCAUCUGUUGUUUCAUCUCUCGAAGCUCAAGCCAUAAUUCCUCUUGAUUCAACUCCAAAGCACUAAUCCUUGCUUUCAAUUGAUCUUCCAUUUUCGUCACUCUGAACCCCACCAAGACAGACAUUUUAUUCCAGAACUUAGACAAAAAAUUCUAGACUAUUACCCUUAUUGAAUGAAUAUCACAAAAAACAAAGACACACAAAGUAUGUUUAUGAAUACAUGAAUAUGAGAAUGUCAUGAAAUGCAUAUAUACUUAUGACAAUGAAUGUUUAUAUGUACAAAGACCCAAAUAAAAAUUUUCGUCAACCAUGAAUGCAUAUGCAAAGAAUGCAAUGUUAUGUUGCAAGAAUGGUGGGAUAUGAAAUGCAAUGUAUGUUCCAUACGACCUUAUGAAUCUAUAUGCAUGAAAUGCAAUGACAUAUUUACAUGAAUGAUGAGAUGUAUUCCUAUGACCAAUGCUUAUAUGGAAUGCAUGAACUUACCAAGUGCAUGUUAUAUUUUUACAUGGGAUGUAAUGCUUGUAUUAUGCCAACCUAGUGAAACUGACACUACUUUUUAUGAUGUAUAUGGGAUGGGAUACAUGUAUUAUUUUUUAUAAUGUAUGAAAUGCAUGAAAAUUGAUUUUUUUUAUUGGGCCAAUAAACAAAGAAUCUAAAAAAAAUUAAUCUUUAGAAAUGUUCUUUUGCCCUUUUUUUUUAUUGACCUAAAAUAAAUACCACAUAUUCAAAUAUAACACACACAAAGAAAGAAAAAAAAUUAAUAAAAUAAAAUGACUCAAGAAUUCAAAACAAACAAGUAAGAGAAAUAACCAUCUGACAAAAUAAUAUAACGUAUAAUGUCCUAAUUUUUGGUAAUUUUUUGAAAGACAGCAUGGCUUUAUCCUAAGCAGGUUUCUUAUGGCUCACGAUAUGCUUGGUUUGGAUUGACAGGGUCUAAAGGUUCCCAAAUUGUUUCUCACUAUCAUCCAUAUUGGACUAGUAAGGCACCCCGAUCCCUCACCCAUUACAGGCUACGAACGGAAAGGGUUCAAUCUGAGUGGAAGUGUUUCGCUAGCAAAUGCGGAGGUUAUCACCUCACGAGAGCGUAACUACUUUACUUCCUCCUAAAAGGAUGGAGCCCGGUUAUAGAGCUCAUGUAUGCAAGUGAAUAUGCAAAGUGUGUGCAAGGUAAUGUAUUAAUCAAAAUAACAUGAAUAAAUCAAAAACAAAAUCAAAAUGAAGUAAUAAUUAGCACAUAAUUUAUUUCAUUUAUUCACAUGACUGUUUUCAAAAAAUAAAAAAUAAAAAAAAUUAAACUAAAUAUCAAAUAAAAUCAAUUAAAUCCAACCAUUUUCAAUAGCGCAUAAUUAAAAUUUUGGCCUGACUCUCAAAAUUCCCCAGUGGAGUCGCCAAGCUGUCAUAACGGUUUUGGAACCGCCAGACGUAAAAGAUGAUAUUUUAAAAAUUGAGAAAAAUAAAUAAAGAGGAGUCGCCACCAAUCUUUGUUAGGGUGUGAUUGGCCACCCAAAAGUUUAUCUUUUUAAUAAAGCUAUAAAAACGGGUUUAAAGUUUAUCAAAAAGAUCAAUUUUGGUCUACGAAAAACCAGAUUGGGUCCGGGAGUCGAUUACGCAUGGGGAAGGAUUAGCACCCCCACAACGCCCAUAAAUUGGUACCAUUCAAUUACGCGCUAUUUUCGAUGUUGGAUAAAAAUGAUUUUAAUUUGAAAUUUAACUCUAAUUCCCUUCAUUAAAAAAAUAUUUUUUUGCUAAAAUUUUUAUUUAAGAAUAUUGAGAAAAUCUUUAAGUUAAAGAAUUAUCUUGAAAUUCUCUAACAUCUAGGCAGAAUUUGAAAUAACGCUUUUCACUUAAGAUUUAACACAACAAUCCUUAAAAUAAAAUAACACUCUUUAUGAAAAAUUGUUGGUGACUCUCCAACAUCUAGGUAGAGUACCAUGAGUAAAUUAAAGAGAGAAUAAUGCAGACAAUUAUUAAUGAUAAUACGAUAACGUAUGUAUGCUAAUGAAUGUCCUUUAUAAUGAAAUGCAAUUUAAGAGUUGGAUUCUUAAAUAUAAUGAGACCACCCCGACUCUCCAACAUCUAGGCAGAGCUUAGGUGCGACUGUUUAUAUUUAAGAUCCUAAUUUUAUUUUUAUUUUUUUAUUUAUUAAUCUUAUUAUUAAUAUGAAUUACGAACUCGUGUGAAAAGACUUAACGAAGUAAAAUUUUCUAAAUACCCCAUCAUCUAGGCAGCAUUCGGGAACAAAUUGCUCCAAAUAAAAUUUUCACACGUGUCCUUAGGAUUUUUUUUAGGACUUUGGAUUUUAAGGAUUUUGGAUUUCGGGGGGUUUUGGAUUUAAUGGAUUAGGAAAUAGUGCUUAAGGUUUCGAACAUCUCUAAAAAUCCCCAACAUCUAGGCGAAUUUUUUAAGCAAGUUCGAUUUUAAUAAUUUUUGAAGAUUAAUUAAAAAUUUCUUAUGUUUAUUUAUGAAAAAUAAUUAACAAUAAUUUCCCAACAUCUAGGCGGAAUUAUUGUUUUAAAAAAAUAUUUUUAUUCCCUCCAACAUCUAGGCAGGGAAGAUUAUUAUUAUUAUUUUUAAAGCAUUUUAUUAUAUAUUUUUUUUUAUUAUUUGUUCUUAAUUUUAUUAUUAUUAAAACGAUUAAACAUUUAUUCUAACAAAUUUAUAAAUUUAUCAUGCAUAAAUAUAAAAAAUAUAUUUAAAAUAACAAAAAAUAAUAAUAAAAAAAAUUAGAAAAUUCAAAAAAAAAAAUUUACCUGAACCAGACCGGUCAACGGUCCGAUCAACGCUGGUCCGGGCGGUCUGACCGGUUCGACGGUUGGAUCAGCGGUUCGAUUCGGUCUGGUUGGUUCGGUGGUUCAGUACCGGUUCGGUUUUAUCUGGGCAGUUCGGUUCGGUCUAGUCAGACCGGGCAGAGCGGAUGAAAGAAGCGGGUCGCGGGUCUGGCGCGCGGACUCGGGUCGGGUCGCGGGUUGACGCGCGGACUCGGGUCGGGUCGCGGGUUGACGCGCGGAUAUUCGGGCUUAAAACGACGUCGUUUUGGGCCUUUAAUGAAACGACAUCGUUUUGAUUUUGGCAGUUUAUAUAAAAGGCUCAAUUUUUUUUUGGUCAGUUUUUUAUUUUCCAGAAAAAAAACUUUUUUUUUCUUCUUCUUCAGCAGAUCGCCGGUCAACCGUUGGUGCCGCCGCCGUCCGUCGUCACCGCCGAUCUUCGGCUGCCGUUUUCGGUGGUCGAAAAAUUUCAAAAUUCUCCCACAAGCUCUUCUCGACCCCUUGAGCGCAGAUCUGACCUCCUUUUCACCAAAAGGAGUCUCAAAAUUCCUAGAUUUGUCUUCAAAGUUUCGGCCAAAAAAUAUUUUUUUUCUGCGUUCUUUCUCUUUUUUUUUUUGAAGCUGACAUUUCUUUCUCUUCUUCGUGCAGGAAGCUUGGCGCUGAGGUUCCUCGCCGUAAGCGAGGACUGUGUAUUUUUUAUUUUGUUUCUGUUUUGGUUUUUUUUUGUGGCAGUUCUGUUUGUGGUUGUUUUCGGUUGGUUUUUGUGUUUGGGUAUUUUGGGUGUUUGGGUGGGUGGAUCGAAAUUUUUCGUUCCUGAACUCUCAAGCUGGAAAAAUUUUUUGUUUCAGAAUUCUCACUUGAAAAAUUUUUUCAUUUUUCUUCUCCCUCUUCUUGUUAGAGUUUUUGUGUUGAUUUUAAAGAGUUUCAAUUAAGUGGGAUUUGGCUGGCUGUAGGGUGGUUAGUUGGUAGCUGUAGGGUGGCUGGCAGGAGGCUGGUCGGGGGGUUUGGUUGGGUUAGUCAGGGAGUUGGUUGAAUGGCUGACAGGGAGUUGGUCACGGAGUUAGUUGGGGCAGUUCGGCGCCGUACCAACUCCUUGACUUCUGUCUGAUUUCCAUUUUGUUUUUUUGUUUGUUUUGUUUUUUCUUUUUUGUUUUGUUUUGUUAAAUAUUAUUAUUAGAAAUCAAACGGUAGACCCGGACAAAAUCGGUGUCUACAUAAAGAAAAAAUUCAAAGAAGAUUUUUAGAAUAAUUAAAAGCCAAAUGGGUCCACUAGAAGAUGAAGAUUUUUUAAGGAGAAUCGAAAGACUUAAAAGGGCAGGACUAUUAGAAGUGGCUUUUAAAGAUGGAAAGAAUUGAACCAAAAGUUGAAUUAACUUAGAUAAAAAUGCAUGAUAUAAUUCAUUGGUUGCAUCUUUAUCCUUUCAAUCAUCACAAUUAUUACAUGCAUCGCAUACCUCCUGGUAAGUUGCAUAAAAGAUUUCUUUAUGAAACAUCAGGAAGAAGUCCUCUUUUUCAAAACAAAUAUGAUGGCCUUGAAGGUAAUAUGUUACCUCCAAGAUAAUUCUUAAAACCAAACUAUCGGUUUAUGGAGUACCCAAUCCCCUAUUUCUCAAAUCAUAGCUCAGUUAUGGUUACUUUUAUUUCCUUGACUUGCGAUUCAGUCCCGAUCGUCGUUAAUAUUUGACUUGUGAUUUAAUCUCGAUCAUUCUUAAAGCUUCUUGACUUACGAUUUAAUCCUAGUCAUUUUUAUUUUUUUGACUUACGGUUCAGUCCCGGUCAUCGUUAAUCUUUGACUCGUGGUUAAUCCCGAUCAUUCUUAUAGCUUCUCGACCUAUGAUUUAAUCAUAGUCACUUUUAUUUCUUUGACUUGAUGUUCAGUCCCGGUCGUCGUUAGUCUUUAACUUGUGGUUUAAUCUCGAUCAUUCUUAUAGCUUUUUGACUUACGAUUUAAUCCUAGUCAUUUUUAUUUCUCUGACUUACGGUUCAGUCCUGAUCAUUUUUAUAGUUUUCAAAUUAUAGUUUAAUCCUAGUCUCCUUAUUUUCUAAUUUACGAUCUAAUCCCAAUCUCUUUAUAUUCUGACUCGCUGUUCAAUCUUGAUUUUUUUAAUCCAAAAUCGUAGUUUAAUCUCAAUUGUUGUCUUUAUUUUUGACUCGUGGUUUAAUCUCGGUUAAUCUCGAUUGUUGUUAUUUUUUGACUCGUGGUUUAAUCUCGGUCUCUUUAUUUUCUGACUUAUGAUUCAAUCCAAAUUGACGUUAUUCUAACUCGUGGUUCAAUCUCAAUUUUUUAAUCCAAAAUCGUAGGUUAAUCUCAAUUGUUGCUAUUUUCUGACUUGUGGUUUAAUCUCGGUCUCUUUAUUUUAUGACUUGUGAUUCAAUCUAAGUUGAUGCUAUUCUGACUCGUGGUUUAAUCCCGAUUUCUUUAAUCCAAAAUUGUAGUUAAUCUCGAUUGUUGUUAUUUUUUUACUCGUGAUUUAAUCCCGAUUAAUCUUGAUUAUUGUUAUUUUCUAGCUCGUGAUUUAAUCUCGGUCUCUUUAUUUUUUGACUUGUGAUUCAAUCCAAGUUGACAUUAUUCUGACUCGUGAUUCAAUCUUGAUUUCUUUAAUCCAAAAUCACAGUUUAAUCUCAAUUGUUGUUAUUUUUUGACUCGUGGUUUAAUCACGGUUAAUCUCGAUUGUUGUUAUUUUUUGACUCAUGGUUUAAUCUUGGUCUCUUUAUUUUCUGACUUAUGAUUCAAUCCAAGUUGACGUUAUUCUAACUCGCGGUUCAAUCUCGAUUUCUUUAAUCCAAAAUCGUAGUUUAAUCUCGAUUAUUAUUUUUUUUUGACUCGUGGUUUAAUCUCGAUCUCUUUAUAUUUUGACUUGUGAUUCAAUCUAAGUGCAAUCAUGAUCUUGUUAUUCCUUUACUUGUGGUGUUGCCCCAAUCAUUUUCUUUAUUAUCCGACUUGUGAUGUUGCCUUAAUUGAUUCCUUAUUUUUCAACUCACGAUGCCAUCUUGGUCAUUUUCUUUAUCAUUCAAAUUGUGGUUAAAAAUUCAUCAAAACAAAAAAAAACAAAAGAAAAACUUUUGAAAAAUCCACGGUUUGAUUCUGGACAAAAUCGUUAUCUUUGUCUUUGCCAUAUUCCUGAUUCUCAGUAAUGUGCAAAGAUAGGCAGCUGUAGACACCGAUUUUAUCCGGUAUAUUUAUAUAUAUAACAAUAAUGAUUUUAAUAAUAAUAAAAUUUGUUUAAUUAAAAUUAAAAAUCAAUUAAUUAUUAAAAAAAUAGAACAAAACAGAAAAAAGAAAAAUCGAGGAUGGCAGUGGUGCCUUCUCCGACACCACUGCCACCAGGCCUUACACCCCACCCUUCUGAUCACCAUACCCUACCCUCCACCCCUCUGAUCACCCAUCCCGCUGAUAGCCACUACCCUCACUGUCAAAUAAGACAUAAACAAAUAAUAAGGAAUGGGGCUUGUGCUUACACCCCAUACCGAGCCCUGUGCCCUUCCCUCAAACACACGCAUGGUCGGAGCUCUAUAAAUAGAACUCCUAGCCAAACCAAAAAAUACACAAAGAGAGGGACACUGCAAAAAAAAAUAUUUCAAAAAUAAUAAUAAAUAAAAAACACAAUCCUCCCCGUAGGGAGGAACCUCAGUGCUGAAGCUUCCUGCAAGAACAAAAAAAAUUAGAUCAGUCUUCGUUUUACAAAAAAAAAAAGGGAAACAAAAAACUUCAAACCUCGAUCUACACCAAUCGAUGCUGUUUCUGGCGAAAUGGGUGGUAGAUCUGAGCUCAGGAGGUUGAACGAAACCUUCUAAUAAAAUUUAAAAUUUUUCGAUCACUGGCAAACACCGCCAAUGGUGACCCAGUAGUGGCUGGCCCGACGGUUGGCGAUUGGACGGCAAGAGAGCUCUGAAGCUCUCCCCAGGGCUCUCCCUUUUUUUUCUUCCUAAAAACAAAAAAAUAAUGAACAAAAAAAAUGUCAGUUAUAUAUAAAGGCCUAAAGGCCAAAAUGACGUCGUAUUGGGCAAGAAAAGAUUCGCGCGUGGACCCGAACUCGACUCGAGGUCUGCUCAACCGACCCGCCAACCCAGUUCCUCAGCAACCCUAAAUCGUUUGAUCAGACCAGACCGAACCGCUCCCCAAACAGGCCUGAACUACGCCUCAACCAGCUUAACCGAACCGCGCGUCGAAUCGAACCUUUUUGGUCCAAACGAACCGUCGUUGACCAGUCCGGUUCAGGUAAAAAUUUUUUUUUUUGAAUUUUCUAAUUUUUUUAUAUAUUAUUUUUUUUAUUUUAAGUAUUUUUUAUAUAUUUAUGCAUAAUAAGGUUUAAAUUUGUUAGGAUAAAUUUUUUAAUUGUUUUAAUAAUAACAAAAAUAAAAAUAAGUAGGAUAAUGAUUAAAAUAUAUAUAUAUUAAAAAUGCUUAAUAAUAAUAAUAAUAAUAAUAAUAAUAAUAUAAUUAUUUUUUUUUCUGCCUAGAUGUUGGAGGGAAUAAAAAAAUAUUUUUCUAAAGAAAUAAUUCCACCUAGACGUUGGGGAGUUAUUAUUAAUAAAUUUUUAUAAAAAGAAAUAUAUAAGAAUUUUUUAAUUAAUUUUUAAAAAUCAUUAAAAUCAAACUUGCUCCGAAAAUUCACCUAGAUGUUAAAAAUUUUUAAAGAUGUUCAUAUUUUUUUAAAAAUGAAACCUUAAACACUAACCCUAAAAAUUCAAAAUCCCUUAAAUCCAAACCCCAUAAAAUCCGAAACUCCUAAAAUUCAAAACCUUAAAUCAAAACUCUAAACCUUCCAUAUCCUAAAAUUCAAGCCUUAAAAUCCUCUAAAUCUUAAAACCAAACUUUCAAAAUCUCUACUCAAACCCUUACUCAAAACCUUUUGAAAAUCCUAAGGAUACGUGUGAGAAUCCCAUUUGAAAUUAUUUGUUUUCGAAUGCUGUCUAGAUGAUGGGGUAUUUAAGAAACUUUAUUUCGUCAAGUUUUUCAUACGAAUUCUUAAUAUGCUUUAAUAAUAAGAUUAACUACAAAAGUAUAAUAAUGAAAUAGGAUCUUAAAUAUAAACAGUCAUACCUAAGCUCUGUCUAGAUGUUAGAGAGUCGGGGUGGUCUCAUUAUAUUUAAGAAUCCUACUCUAAAUUUAUAUUUCAUCACUUUGCAUACAUACAUUAUCAUGUUAUUUGUAUUGUAUUUCUCUGUCUUUAAUUUUCAUUUGUUGCCUACAAUACCAUCAUUUAUUUUCUCAUAUAAAAUUUUUCAAAAUAUAUAUUUUUGAUAUUAUAAAAUAAAACAAAAAUAACAUUUCGAAAGAAAUAAUUUUUGGUACUUUGCCUAGAUGUUGGAAAGUUACUAAUAAUCAUUUCUUGCAAAGAGUGUUAUUUUUAUUUUAAGAUAAUAUUAUAUUAAAUCUCAAGUGAAAAAGUCAUCUUAAGUUUUGCCUAGAUGUUGGAGAAUUUUAAGAUAAUUUUUUAACUUAAAAUUUUUUUUAAUAUUCCUGAAAAAUGAAUUUUAACCAAAUUUUAUUUUUUUAAGUGAAGGAAUUAGUGUUAAAUUUCAAAUUGAAACUAUUUUAUCCAACAUCGAAAAUAACGCAUGAUUAAAUGGUAUCAAUUUAUGGAUAUAGUAGGGGUGCUAAUCUUUCCCUACACGUAACCGACUCCCGAAUUCAAUCUAAUUUUCGUAGAUCAACAUUUGUCUUUUUGAUAAACUUUAAACUCGCUUUUAUAAUUUUAUUAAAAAGAUAAACUUUUGAGUAGUCAAUCACACCCUAAAAUAAAUUAGUGACAACUCCUUUUUUAUUUCUUUCGAUUUUAAAAUUCAUUACGUCUGACGAUCUCAAAAUCAUUAUAACACUUAGGCAUCUUAAAUUAAUAAACCAAAUCUCCGAAUAUAUGCUAUAAACACGUACUAUUAUCUUUGGCAAUUUACAAAACAUUGCUUUCUUUUCUUUCAUGUUUUCCUUUUCAGUUCCUAUCAUAGUAGUUUUGAACAAAUUCCAAAUUAUUGCUAUCACUUUGGUCCUGGAUGCACCUACAAAUAAGGACAAUAGGCAUAAAAUUAUUGCUAUUUGCUAUUUUAUCAAAAUCUAUUUACUUUAUAGGAAAUAAAUUUUUAAAAAUUAUUUUUUAAUAAUAAAAUUUCUGAACUUGUUAGGAGGAAAAUUAAAACACUAUUUUUAUCCUUAAUUUUAAGUUAAAAUUCAAAAUAAUUGUUGUAAGAGACAAUAAAUAAAUUACAAAACAACACGUGUAUAUUAUGAUUAAGUCACCACCAUAAGAUUUUCUGUGGAUGUGGGUCUAAUGUUUUUUUUUUCUUCUUUUUCAUAAUUACGUUGUUACUUAGGGAAGGAAUUCAAAAGCGCUUUGAUGAAAGACUGGCAGGCAAGCAAACCACUUUAUUUUUUAUACUUGAUGAUCAUGUGGUUUGAGCAGCGGACGAAAUUUUCUAACGCCUUAUUUCUAUUUAACUUGUAUUUUACUAUUAAUAAUAUUCUUACUUAAUUAUCUUGAAUUAAUUUUUGAUAACCUUAUUAUUGUUCUUUCAUUUAAUUUACGGUUAAAUUAAAUUUACUGAAAGCUAGGUGAAUUUUCUCAACCAUCACUCCAUAAAAAAACAAAUCUUUGAGAUAAUUGAAGUAAUUAAUUGAAAUAAAACUUUUCAAUAAUUUAAUUUUGUCUUUCUCUGCACUUGAAUACUUUUUCUGUUUCAAUUUUUUUUUGUUCCUUUUUCUUAAAUAUCCUCAAAUUCUAUUUUAUUUUUUAUAUUUUUAUUUUUUUUAUUUUUUUAUAUUAAAAAUUAUGAAAUUUUAAUUUUAUAAAAAAAUUUUAAAUUUUAAUAUUAAAUAUAUCAAAAUUAAAGUUUCUUUUAAAAUUUCAUAAAAAUUAAUACUAUUCAAUUAGUUUCAAACGAGUAGAGAACUUUUUUUCUAUUUUUACUAUGGGUAGGUUAGGUCUACUCGUUAAAUCAAACUGUUUUUUUUUAAUUUUACAGGUGAGUGGUCUAAAUCGAAACGUACAAUGAUGAAAAACAGCCCAGAAUUUAAAUAUAUAGUACAAUAAAAUAAAAAUUAAUUGUUUCCAAUCCCCACAAAUUUAAUAGUACUAUGCUAAUAUGUAAGAUAUCAGCCUCAGCACUUUCAGCAUCUUGUCUUGCAUGAAAACCCAAGGAAGACUUGGGGGGGGGGGGGCAAGGAGCUCGUUUAUGCGAGGUUAAUGCUCUCUUCAAUUAUGAAGAUAACCUUGGCAGCUUGUUGCACUUUAUGACUUUUGCGGAGGGGACCAGAACCUACCGACAAAAGUCGGAAUCACAGUACUUAUAAUUUUCUUGGCAUGCUGCUUUCAAAAACGAAGAUAAAGUAAUUCAAAUAAGACUUUUCAACAAUUUAUUUGGCCUUUUUCGACACUUUAUUUUUUUGUUUUACUUUUAUAAGUGAAAGGUCUAAAUCGAAACGUACAACAAUGAAAGACAGCCUGAAAAUCGAUAUAUAGUACAAUGAAAAUAAAAAAAUAAAUUAUUCUCCAAUCCCAAAAAUCUAAUGGUAAUACUAACUAUGGUGAUAUGUAACUAUGUUUUCAGCCAGGCAAUGCUUGGAAUUUUUCUUUUUUUAAAUGAAUGUUGUGUUUUAUUCGUUCAAUCGGCAGGAAUCAUACAAUUAGAAAGAUAAAUUCGUACUACUUUAUUAAAUAAUUUAUCAGAGUUUUCUUUCAAUUAGUUAUACCAUUACUUGAUCUUAUCUUCAAUUAUGUUGAAAUUUGUGAGAUCAAUUAUUUAUUCUAAGAAUAGAUUAAAUUUUAUUUUAAUUGUAAAAAUAUGUUUAUUUAACAUUGGAUUCUAUAUCUGUUAAAAAAAUUGGAUUCUGUAAAUUAAACAGAAAUAAAAUUAUAUAUUCUUAUUAGUUUUUAUAUGUAUUUUAAAUUUUUAUAAAAUAAAAUUAAUUUUUUUAUAUUUAAAUUUAUUUAAAAUUAUGUGAAAAUAAUAAAAAAUAUUUAAUUUAAAAAAAUAAUAAAUUAAACGAAUAAAAUUUAAUUCGAAUCAAUUUAAUUUCUUUAAAAGAUUUAUUCAAAUUCAAUUCAAAUUUUUAAAACUUAUAAUAUUAUGCAUUUAAUGAAAUAAUCUAAUUCAAUUCAAUUGAUUAUCAUCUCAACUUCUCUCCAUGCUCAUACUUUAUUCUUUUAUGUUAACAGUAAAAUAUUUACUCUUCAUUCAUUCAAGAGUAUUUUUUCUUUCUUUUUUAAAGAACAAUCAUCCUGUUUUUGUGGGUAAUUACUCGAUUCAUUCGACUACAAUCUUAUUGAUUUUUCUUUUUGAGGAAACAUAGGCAUUUUAAAUUAAUAAACCAAACCUCCGAAUAUAUGCUAUACAUAUACAUGUACAAUUAUUAUCUUUGGCAAUUUACAAAACAUUGCUUUCUUUUCCACUUACUAUCAUAGUAGUUCUGAACAAAUUCCAAAUUAUUGCUGUCACUUUGGUCUUGGAUGCACCAUCAAAUAAGGACAAUGGACAUAAAAUUAUUGCUAUUUGCUAUUUUGUCAAAAUCUAUUUACUUUAUAGGAAAUAAAAUUUUAAAAUUAUUUUUUAAUAAUAAAAUUCUGAAAUUGUUAAGAGGUAAAUUAAAACACUAUUUUUAUCCUUGAUUUUAAGUUAAAAUUCAAAAUAAUUGUUGUAAGAGACAAUAAAUAAAUUACAAAACAACACAUGUAUAUUAUGAUUAAGUCACUAUCAUAAGAUUUUCGGUGGAUGUGGGUCAAAUGGUUUUUUUUUUUCCUUCUUUUUCAUAAUUACGUUUUUACCUAGGAAAGGAAUUCAAAAGCGCUUUAAUGACAGACAAACCACUCUAUUUUUCAUACUUGAUGAUCAUGUGUUUUGAGCAGCGGACGAAAUUUUCUAACGCCUUGCUUCUAUUUAACAUGUAUUUUACUAUUAAUAAUAUUCUUAUGUAAUUACCUUGAAUUAAUUUUUGACAACCUUAUUAUUGUUCAAUUUUUAAUAACCUUAUUAUUGUUCUUUCAUUUAAUUUCCAGUUAAAUUAAAUUUCCUGAAAGUUAGGUGAAUUUUUUCAACCAUCACUUCAUAAAAAAACAAAUCUUUGAGAUAAUUGAAGUAAUUACUUGAAAUAAAACUUUUCAACAAUUUAAUUUUGUCUUUCCCUGCACUUGAAUACUUUUUCUGUUUCAAUUUUUUUGUUCGUUUUUUUUUAAUAUCCUCAAAUUAUAUUUUAUUUAUUUUGAAUAUUUAAAAUUUUUAUUUUUUAUGUUUUAUAAUUAUAUUUUAAAAUUUUUUAAUUUUUUAUAUUAAAAUUUAUGAAAUUUUAAUUUUAUAAAAAAAUUUUAAAUUUAAUAUUAAAUACAUCAAAAAUAAAGUUCCUUUUAAAAUUUCAUAAAAAUUAAUGCUAUUCAAAUAAUUUCAAACGAAUAGAGUACUUUUUUUUUUUUAAUUUUUACUAUGAGUAGGUCUAAUCUUUAAAUCAAACUUUUUUGUUUUCUUUUUUAAUUUUAUAGGUGAGUGGUCUAAAUCAAAACGUACAAUGAUGAAAGACAGCCCAGAAAUCAAAUAUAUAGUACAAUGAAAUAAAAAUUAAUUGUUUUCCAAUCCCCACAAAUUUAAUAGUACUAUGCUACUAUGAAAGAUAUCAGCCUGAGCACUUUCAGCAGGCAAAACCCAAGGAAGAGUUAGUGGGGCAAGUAGCUCGUUCAUGCGAGGUUAAUGCUCUCUUCAAUUAUGAAGAUAGCCUUGGCAGCUUGUUUCACUUUAUGACUUUUUGCGGAGGAGACCACAACCUACCGACAAGUCGGAUUCACAGUAUUUAUAAUUUUCUUGGCAUGCUGCUUUCAAAAUUGAACAUAAAGUAAAUUCAAAUAGGACUUUUCAACAAUUUAAUUUGGCCUUUUUCGACACUUUAUUUUUUUGUUUUACUUUUAUAAGUGAAUGGUCUAAAUCGAAACGUACAACAAUGAAAGACAGCCUGAAAAUCGAUUAUAUAGUACAAUGAAAAUAAAAAAAUAAAUUAUUCUCCAAUCCCAAAAAUCUAAUGGUAAUAAUACUAAGCUGAUAUGUAACUAUAUGUUUUCAGCCUAGUAAAGGCAAUGCUUGGAAUUUUCUUUUUAAAUAAAUGUUGUGUUUUAUUCGUUCAAUAGGCAGGAAUCAUACAAUUAGAAAGAUAAAUUCGUACUACCUUAUUAAACAAUUUAUCAAAGUUUUCUUUCAAUUAUUUAUGCCAUUACCUGAUCUUAUCUUCAAUUAUGUUGAAAUUUGUGAGAUCAAUUAUUUAUUCCAAGAAUAGAUUAAAAUUUAUUUUAAUUGUAAAAAUAUAUUUAUUUAACAUUGGAUUCUAUAUCUGUUAAUAAAAUUGGAUUCUAUAAUUUGGCCAAAAAAAUUUGAUUCUGUAAAUGACGGUCUUAAAAUAAAAAUCAACUAAAAAACUAAUUACAUGGUAAAUAAAAAAUCUAAAUUUAAGAUCAAACAGAAUCAAGGAGAAAUCCAAUAAGUAAAUCUAGUAAAACACAUUGAAAUAUUGUCAUUUCUGUUAAAAUUUUGUACUUUUAAUUUUAAUUUGUUGAUUUUUUAACAUAAAAUAAUUAUAUCGAUGAAAAUCAUCAUUUCCAUUAACAAAGCAAUAUUUCAUAAAAUACUUCAAUGCCAUUACUCUGCUAAAAAAAUCAAUGAAAUUGAAAAUAUAUGGAAAAAGUUUAUUAUUUGCGUCAAUAAAAUAUUUUUUAAACUAUUUUAGUUCCGUUAUUUUUUAUUAAAAAAUCAACAAAAUAAAAAGUGAAUUGGUAAAACUCAAUAAAAUUGAAGUAUAAUGAAAAAAUAUUUUAAAGCUAUCAAUCUUAGCAUUCAUCUCUUGCUUUGAAAUUUUAAAGCAUAUUAACUUUUCCUUAUUUUACAAUGAAAUAUUGGAAGUUAAGUGAAUUUUCUGUUACUAGAUUUACCUUUAGGAUAAUAGACAAAAAAAAAAUUAUAUGAUGUCAUUAUACGAAACAACUUUUUUUAAUAUGUGAAAUUAAAAAUAAUUUACAUGUCAAUCACAAUUUAAUAAAAAGAUAAAAAGUAUAAUUAAAUCAGUUAAUUUUUGAGAUAAUUGAAUUAAUUGGAAUAGAUUUUUCAAAAAUUUCAAUAAUAUUAAAAGAUAUAAAAAAUUUAUACACUAUAAUCAAAAAAAUUAAGUUUUUAUUUUUUUUAUAACUAUCCAAUAUUUAUUUGUAUUUAAUUAAAAUUUUAUUUCGAUAAAAAAAAAUUAACAACGAUAAUUUUUUUAGCAAUUAAAAUAAAAUUUCAUACGACAAUAAUAAAAUAAUGAAAUUUAUCAUGUUAAGUAAUUAAUAUAUGUAAAAAUUAAAUCAAAUAAACUUUUUUAUUUUUUAUUUUCUCUCUUUUUUUUAAGAUCUUUAUAAAAAUUCAAUUAACAAUAAUUUGGAAAUUAAUUCAUUUAAUUGUGUUACGUUAUUUAAUUUUAUUUAAUUAAAAAUUAAAUUAAAUUAAAUUAAAAAUUAAAAAUUUGAUUGAUUAUAAUAAAAUAUUAAAAAUUUUAAAUAAUUAUUAAAUUAUAAUUCAAAACAUCUGUUAUCUUUAGCCUUUUAAUCCCUACACUUGAUUAAUUUUUCAUUUUUGCUGUGUCUAAUCUUUAAAUCAAACCUUUUUUCUUUUAUGUUUUUCCUAUCACUUCAAUAGGUGAGCGGGAUUUAAAUUAAAUUAAAUUAAAUUAAAAAUUUGAUUGAUUAUAAUAAAAUAUUAAAAAUUUUAAAUAAUUAUUAAAUUAUAAUUCAAAACAUCUGUUAUCUUUAGCCUUUUAAUCGCUACACUUGAUUAAUUUUUCAUUUUUGCUGUGUCGAAUCUUUAAAUCAAACCUUUUUUCUUUUAUGUUUUUCCUAUCACUUCAAUAGGUGAGUGGUCUAAAUCCCACCACCCUUGAAAGGCAGGUUGAACAACCACUCCUUCACCAAGACCAAGUAGUGCAAUGAAAUAAAAAUUAAUUAUUUUCCAAUCCCGACAAAUCUUCCAAUUAAAUUGUCACAAUUUUUUGUGGUUAAAUUUUUAAACUUUGAUCUUUUAUUAUUUUUUAUUUAUGACUAAAGAAAAUACAAAAAAUUAUUUUUGAAAAUUUGAAUCAAGUAAUUUCUUAAUAUAUAUUUUAUAAAAUUUAAUUGAUUAAAAUAUUUAAAAUAAUAACAAUCAAAAUUAAAAAAAUUUUGAUUAAAAAUCAAUUAUAACAAUUUAAUUAAGACAGGAAAACUUCAAUAUUAAUAUUUUCGUUUAUUCUAUCAUAUGUUUUACGUUUUUAAGUUUGAAUACGUGUUAAUAUGAAUUGAUUUCUUUAAAAAUCUAGUGUAAUUUAUGCGGCGUGAUUAAUUAUUGUAUUUGAUAAGAAUUUAAGAUUCUUAAAAUGUAAUCAUUACUUUAUAGAUCAUGUGAAUCUCAUUUAAAAUAAUGAGGAAGUUUUACAAUCGAUAAAAGAUGGUCUUUAAAAUCAUUUAAAGACAAUUAUUUUCAUAGUGGUGGGUGUAUAUGAAGUUACGAUUCUGUCCCAAAUUUUGUUUUUAUAAGAAAACUUUCAUUUUUGAAUCAUUUCAAGACAAUUUGUUGAUUUUAACUUUUAAUAUAAACAGGAUCGCAGCAAGAUCACCAUCAUCAUCAACACAUACUACUUAAAAUGAAUCCAUAUCAUUAUAUAGGUAAGGGACCGAGGAACUGAUUUAUUGGAGUGGGGUCUUUCUCUUUUCCCUACCAUGACCCCUUGCUGUCGGUGAGGGUGCUGGACCACACAGCAUACGGUAGAAACAAAACAAAGGCCUGAAGUUGAACUCUUAAAUAGAGGGUAAAUGCUGUGACUGUAGCACUUUUUUUAUUAUUUUUUAUUUUUAAAAGUUUUUAUUGUUGUUCUAUCUUUUUACAGUAUCUGUCAAACUAUUAGAUCAUGAAAUAAGCACAACACAAGGAAAGUGUUUUGGGCUGGGCCGGGGGGAGGGGGAGGAGUAGGGAUAUUAAUGGGAUAUUUGGUUCGGAAAAAUUUAUAUAUAUUUUUUAAAUUUUAUCAUUAGGUGUUUAAUUUUAAUAUUUAGUUUAAAAUAAUUUUAUUUCGAAGAAAAGUGAUAGAUUUUUAAUAAAACUUAAAGUCUCGAAAUAAAAAAUUUAUUUUUUUGUGAUAUUUUAAGAUUUUGAGAGAGAAAAUUAUAUUAUUUUUAAAUUUAACAUGAAUAAAAAAUUAUGAAAUAAUUGUUACUAUUUUAAAAAGUAUGUCUGAAGUUGACUGUAAAUCAAUCUUAGAUUUUUGCUGCUAAAAAAUAUUUUUAUAUUGUAAUUAAUAGUGUUUGGCAUGAAAAAUGUCUUAAAUAAUAUUGUUCAAUUUUUUUUAGAAUAAUCCUAAAAAAAAUUAAAUAUGAUUAUUUAAUAUGUUUUUUGACCAAAAAUCUAUUAAGAAAAUGACUUAAAUAAUCAUCUAAAAAAAAUAGAUUAGUCUUAAAUAAUCCCUUAAAAAAUAUAUCAUUAAUGAGAUAUUUGGUUCGAAAAAAUUUAUAUAUAUAUUUUCAAAUUUAUUAUUAGGUAUUUGAUUUUAAUGUUUGGUUUAAAAUAAUCUUAUUUCAAAGGAAAGUGAUAGAUUUUUAAUAGAACCUAAAGUCUCGGAAUAAAAAUUUUACCUUCUUGUGAUAUUUUAAGAUUAUGAGGGAGAAAAUUACAUUAUUUUCAAAUUUAACAUGAAUAAAAAAUUAUGAAAUAAUUGUUACUAUUUUGAAAAGUAUGUCUGAAGUUGAUUGUAAAUCAAUUUAGAUUUUUGCUGCUAAAAAAUAUUUUUAUAUUGUAAUUAAUAGCGUUUUGCAUGAAAAACAUCUUAACUAAUCUUGUUCAAUUUUUUUUAGAAUGAUCCUAAAAAAAUUGAAUAGGAUUAUUUAAGAUGUUUUCUGACAAAAAAUUCAUUAAGAAAAUGCCUUAAAUAAUCUUUUUAAAAAAUAGAUUAGCCUUAAAUAAUCUCUUAAAAAAUAUAUCAGCAUUAUUUAAGAAAAUCUCUUAAAUAAUCCUAAAAAAUAAUCCUAGAAACGUCUUAAAUUAUCCUAAAAAAUAAUUGCUAAAAGAAAAAGUCAAACUUACGACUUUAUGAUUAAUAACCAUAUGUUUUAACUAACUGAAUUACUUUAAUUUUUUUAUAUUUUAUCUCUUAAAUCUUAUAAGUAAUAAAAGAGAUUAUUUUAAAAGUUUUUAGUAAAAAACACCUUAAAUACAUGCAGUCCAAAAUUUUGAAGAGUAUUAUUUAAGGCGUUUAUGACAAAAACAUUAAAGCUCUAGAAAAGAGAGGUUGAACUUACAACCUCAUGGUUAAUAAUCAUAUACUCUAACUGACUAAGUUACUUUAAUUUUUUUAUAUUUUAUCUCUUAAAAAAUUAAAAAUUAUUACAAAAAAUGUCUUAAAUAAUAUCUUUUAAAAAAUUGAAGAAUAUUAUUGAAAGCAUUUUUUAUUAAAAAAAAGUCUUAAAUAAUCAUUUUUAAAAAAAUAUUAAAUAUUUUUAAAGAUAUUUUUUAAUAAAAAAUACCUUAAAUAAUCAUUUCAUAUUUUUUUAAUAGCAUUUAUUUAAGACACUUUUGGACAAAAAAGUCUUAAAUAAUUCUUUUUAAAAAAUUUAUUUAAGACUUUUUUCAACCAAAAAUAUUUUAAAUAAUCCUAAAUAUUUUUUUAUUGAUGAUAUUUUAUAAAUAAAAAUAGCAAUAAAAAUAUUUGUUUUCUUUUAUUGUUAAAGGUAUCAUUUAUCAUUUAGGUAUUUAUUAUUAAUAAAAACUAAUAAAAAGUUACCAUCAUAUAUAUUAAAAAAGUUAUGAUAAUUAUUCAAAAAUUAAUAUAUGUAGAUUUUUCAUCAAUCAAAUGAAUAAAUCUAAUCAAAUGAAUAAAUCUGAAUAACGGAUACCCUGAAAAUAAAAAAAAACAUCGGGUAUUGCACUUUGUUUAAGAUCACACUUUCUCAUGAAAUUCAAAAUUCCAUGAACUAAAUGACUCCUAAAGGUAAAUAAUGUGUUUUUUUUUUCAGUUUUAUUUUUUUAUUUUUUUAUAUAUUUAAUAAAUAAAUUUUAAAUUUCAUUUUUCUUAUUGAUUCGCUUGAUAUAAAAAAUAUAACAUCUGUCAAAUAAUUUAAUUCUUUUUUUGCUUUCAUUUUUUUAUUUUCUUUCUAUUUAUAAUUUUUUUGUUUUUAUUUCAUAAAUAUUUUUAAAUAUCUUAAAUUUUUUAUGGCGGAUCCAUUUGAUAUUGUUAUUAAAAAUAUAUUUUUAAUAACAUUUUUAUUUGAUAAUUUUUAAAAUAAUAAUAUUAUAGGUGUCAACCUCACAUCUCAUUUUUUUAUCCUUUCUUUUUUAAUAUUUUCCUUAUUUCUUUGCAAAUCCAUAAAAUUUUCAAAAAUAAAAUAAUUGUUACUGAUGUUAUGUGUCAAGUGAUUUUUUUUAAAAAUAUUUGUCUUCAUUUCUUUUUUUAUUUAAUAGAUAUUUUUAUUUUUAUUUUUGUAAUUAAAAAAGUCAAUUUUAUCUUAAUAAUUAAAAAUAUUUUUUAUACUUUUUUAAAUAAAAAAAUGGUUUAAAAUAUAUAUUAAUGGAGAAGUAAACAUUCCAUCUAAAUUUGAUUUUUUUGAGCUUUUUAAUAUCUAUGAUAUAAAAAAAUGAUGUUUUUAAUCAAUAGUAUUAAAUUAGUUUUUAAAAAAAUUACAAUACAAAUAAAAAUAUAUAAUAGAUAAAAGAAAAAGAAAAAAAAUAAAUAAAAAUAAAAAUAAAAAUAUAUGAUAUAAAUUUUGUAAAAAAAACUAAUGAGGCACGACAACUCAAAAUUUUUUUAUUUUAAUUUAAAAAGACGUAUAUGUGCAGGUGACCUUUUUUUAAUAAAUUUUUUAAAUUAAAUAAUUGACAAUAAACAUAAUUAAUGAAUUAAUUUUCAAAGAAAAAUUUUAAUAAAUAUAUGAAUAAAAAAGACUCGUGUCCCAUAAGUUUCCAUUCUUUUAAAUUUAAUAGUUGUUUUUUUUUGUUUAAUUUAGAAUAAAUUGAGAUUUUUUCAAAAAAAAAAAAAAAAGUCAAUCGAAGACCUUUUCAUACUCUUGCUUUGUCAUCUCGCUAACCACAAGAAUCUUUCUCCGUUGGGAUGCCGCGCGUUCCUCUUGUAAUCGGAACCGUCAAGAGAGGGGAAAAAACUAUCUGAUCAUUUGCUGGUUGCUAAGAUCAGAUGGAGGUAUGUUCGUGAAAAUCCCUUCAAUUCUGUUCGUUCUUUCAUGUAAAUGAACUUUAUUCUCUGUUUGGCGUUAUGUUUACUGUUUCCAAUAGUGUUUUUUUUCUUCAAGUUGUCCUGAUCUUCUGGUUGCAGAUCUGUUAUUUUGUUAGCUUCACCUCAAAUUUGUACCACUAAAAGAAACUCUCUAACUAUUGAUUGCUAAGAUCGGAAGCAGAUGCAUUCGAAAUUUCUUUGAAAAUCUUUCCGUAUUCUCAGUCUAGGUUUUCUCAUGAAGUUUCAAUUUAGCAAAUAAUAAUAAUAAAAAGAACACCUUUUAUUUUCUUUUUCUUUUUAUGUUUAGAGAUUUAAUGAAUUUUGUACUACAUACACACUCGUAUCUCAUGAAUCUCACAUCACUUACUUCCGAAAUUUGAAUUUAGGAUCUUCAAAUUAGAGUGUCAGGUUUUACCCAUAAAAGCUAGAGACGUUUAAAUUCUCUUGGUUAUUUCUUAUUGUUGGCACUUAGUUGCUGCAGUUACGUUGGUUAUCAUGGUUGUUUGCUUGUUUGCUUUGAUCACGUCCUGUUGUUAUUUUCUUGUGUAUGCAGAUAAAUCAUUUGGUUUAUUAUAGGACAAAUGAAUUCAGAAAAUAAAAAUUAGUAUUUGUUUUAGAGUGUGAAAAUUUACUGAGGGAUGUUUUAUUGAUUAUGCCUUCGUAUUAAUUUGAUAGAUUAUAUAUAUAUAUAUACCUAUGUACUUUCCUAACAGUAAAUUUACUGAAAAAAGAAGUUACAAAAUAAAAAAAAAGGAAGAAUACUGCCCCAUAAGCAUUCUUAUGCAAAUGAAGAAGUUCAACCACAAAUCAUUGAACAAAGCCUAUGGGUGAGGAACAUGAGUUGCGUUAAGGUGUUCAUUCUUUCAAUUCGAUUAAUUUUGAAUUGAAUCACUUUAAAUCAAAUUAAUUGAAUUAUAUUAUUUUAUUUUUAUUAAUCGAAUUAAAUUUAUUAAUUUCGAAAUUUAGUUAACUCAAUUUAAUUUGAUCCGUUCAGUUAAUUUUUUCAGUUAACCGAAAAAAUACAUUUAAGUUCAUUAUAUUUUAAAUUCUUAAAUUUUCAUAUUUGAAACCAAUUAAAUAAAAUCAUUUAAUAAAAUAUUUAAAUAUCAAAAUAUUAAGCUAAAAACUUUAACAACUUAUAAAAUGAAAUGGACUAUUUAAUGUAUUUUUAUUUUGAUAUUUAGAUUCAAAUUGAAUUAACAAAAAAUUGAAAUUUCGUUAUGUAGAAAGCUUAAAGAACAAUUGUCCUCAUUUUUUCUUAUUCUUUUUAGAAUGAAGGAGUACAUCAAAUAAAUAGGAGCAGUGAAGUUCUUUAUUAGGAAACAACUUACAUGAAACAGAAAAAAAAUAAUAAUAAAAGGAAGGAGAUACAAAUCCCUAAAAAUUUGACAAUUAGAAUAAUUAACUAAAUCAUAAGAAUAAAUGAGAAAUAUUUCCAAAAUAAAUUACGAAAUCAAGUUGCACUAAUGUAGGAGAAUUAGAUUUUUACACUUCUGCUGAAGUUGGCUUAUGAACGUUAAUUUGGAUUUCAAUAUGUCAAAGAUGCUUCUAGGAAGAGCAUUAAUCAAAAUAUCUUUAAUUUGGGAACUUGUAGGGAUAUAGGCCAGUUUGAGCGAUCCAUUUUCUAUCUUUUCCUAAUGUCGAUCCAACUUUAUGUGCUUGGUCCUAUCAUGAUAAACAAGAUUUUUGGCAAUACUUAUAGUAACCUUAUUGUCACAAAACAAUGUCAUAGAUGUCACCGUCUUAACUUUUAAUUCUC
RNAcentral lists this long non-coding RNA (69756 nucleotides) under Durio zibethinus. RNAcentral describes it as "long non-coding RNA (DZIB_LNC000614)". Lineage: Eukaryota; Viridiplantae; Streptophyta; Magnoliopsida; Malvales; Malvaceae. The record is from RNAcentral.